RNAcentral lists this long non-coding RNA (78515 nucleotides) under Gossypium barbadense (sea-island cotton). RNAcentral describes it as "long non-coding RNA (GBAR_LNC007767)". The record is from RNAcentral. Lineage: Eukaryota; Viridiplantae; Streptophyta; Magnoliopsida; Malvales; Malvaceae.
UUCUUUCUUUCUUUUUUUUUUUUUUUUUUUGUAAAGUUUUCCAUGUAUUUGGAGAGUUUGAGUUACGUGUCGGAUAUGAGUGUCCAGCAUGGAUAUUUCAAGCAAAACGAAGAGUCAAAGCAACAUAGUCAAGCCAUAUCCGACUCUAUCCCCGAAUCUGAGUAGCAUCAGCACAGAUAAGUGAAUAAAGACCUCGCAAGCACUAGUACUUCAGCUUUAACAGCAUGGAGACGUGAAUUAGUAUAAGCAGAAGCUGAUUUAAUCAACUUCAACUUCCAAAUGAGAGUCUCCGUUGGUAAAAUAUCAGCCAAACCCUGAAAAUAAAGCAAGGAAAAGUAGCAUUACAUGCAAUGCAACAAAUGUCAGGAAAAAUAAAUGAUAAAUCCAAUAAUUCUUACAGAAUAAAACGGAAGCAAAGCAGUGAGGUUGCUAGAAAUUCGCUCAAUUUUCUGUGUGGGAAGAAGCCUACCUUCAACACCUACUUCUGCCAUUUUCAAUGGUUCCCCUGAUCUCAUUAAAACAAAAGCUGUAAUCUGAAUCAAGUGAUUUCAAACUAGCUAAAAUUGCCAAUGUUGGUGAUACAUUCAGACUUUGUGUAACAGUCGAACCUGAAUGGAACAAAACUGAGCUUUUUGUAAUAGGACAGUGGUUAUAUAUGAUGUCAGUAGGGAGUCAUGGUCUUAGGGCCAUGGAUUUCCUAUUGCCUAUGUAUUAGUGUUCUACUCGAUAUAAGUAUCCACUCCAUUUAUAAAGCUUUUGUAGAACACUGGAACCUAAAUUGAACAAAUCUAAGCGUGCUGUAACUGACCAAUGGUUAUCUUACAUAUGAUGCGUGCAGGGAGCCGUGGUCUUGGAGCCAUGAAUUUCACAUCUGCUAUGUAUUAGAGUUCGACUCGAUAUAUAAGUAUCCAUUCUAUUUUUAAUAUGUGAGACAUCUUUUCUAUACAAAAUCAUGAGGUCUAAUGGGUCCAAAUGGAACCUUACAGGUUGUUAUAGAUGGUGAUUUAAUAUAGCAUGCCACUGCAAGCACUUACCAAUCACAAGGCUCAAAAGAAAGGGGAUAGUUCUAACGUGUAGUCCAUCAGGGAAAGCUUCCAGUAUAGGGAGAAAUGGUUGCAGCCGAGACCUGCCUAGUGAUGUAGCUAAAAUGAAAUGAAAAACAAAAGAAUCCAUCAGGUUCACCUCGGCAUUUCAGCAACAGAGUUCAGUUCACAACGAUUUUAAGAAUACUUGAUGAAAAAAGAGCAGAAAAAAGGACACUUCUGUAUGAAAACUGACCUGGAUUUACUAAUAUUAUCACAAAGUCAAUACUGGGAUUACGAGCAGCAACAGCAAGGGCUAAGCAUCCUCCAAUGGAAUCUCCCACUAAAUAGAUUGGACAAUUCAGACGUGAAGCAUGCUCAAGUCUAACGGUUUCUUCAACUAGUUUCACCAGUCCUUCAUAUUCAAAAGAAUAAUGUUGAUUUUUUGUUUACAAAAGAUGCAUAGCGAUUAAAAAUAAUGCACUAAAUAUGGGGAUUUGCCAACACGGGUAUAUUUAAAUUUUUUAAGAAAAAUGAACCGGACCAACAUAGUUAUAAACAAAGUGAAUAAGCACUCAUGCAACUCAAAAAAACCUUCAAGCUUAGGGCAUCAUUCAAAUGCACCUUCAACUUGGAUAAAACUUAUAAAUAAGUCAAGAAAGAUCUUGAAAGACAAAAACCUUCAAAUGGUGUUCGAUCAUGGACUGGAAUAUGAAGGCAUUGAACUUCAAAAACCCUGCAGUACUCAACCAAAAUCUUCAGUAGAAAUUGUUACAUUUCCAAUAGAACAACUAUUAACAUAAUGCCAGAGGUGAAUAUGAGUCAGUAUAAUGUGACAGGAAAGAACUGAAAACAAUGAAAACAAUUUCAAGACAGUAUUUUUUCAGGAAAAUGAGUAAGUUAACCCCAUUUAAAUUAAAUUUUCAGCAAGGAAGCUAUGAACUGAUUUGCCUCUGCUGUAAUUCCUGAAAAAUUAGUUUGAACUAACCUUGAUUGCUACCAUUGGAAGGAAAUAUAUAGAAUUUGUCAGCCAAAAAAAUUAAGGGAAAAUUGGUCAUAAGUAUUUAAGGGAGAUAAAACAACUUACUUUCCAAGAGGUUUAUGGUGCAAAAUGAGGCCCAUCCCAACACCAUCAAGCCCUACAUGCAUCAGAAUUCAGAAACAAAAGAAGGAAAAAUACUAGUUUAAAUCAGUAAACUUAAAGUAUUCAUGGAUCUUGGUAUAAAAUUUUGAAGGGCCAAUUAUAAGUCGUAAAUCUAUAUAUUUUAAUUAAAAUAUUUUAUUAUGUUUUUAUCAAUGUGAAAACAUAUAUGUUAGUACUAUACUAAGAAAUCAUAAAACUUUAGGAAUCUAACUUGUGAUUUUGAAAACCAAAUUAUCCAAAAAAAAAAAUUCAUAUUUAAAAUUUGUUGCACAUUUUUUAACAAUAAUUUAAUAAAUAUCAAUUUCAUAAUAGUAGCAAAAGCAUCUUAACUUGCAGAAGCAUAAACUAUAAAAAGCAUACAGGGACAUCAAAGGUAUUAAAAUUCAUUUAUGACAAACCAAACCAAGUAAUUUGAAGAGUUUAUAAAUAAUGAUUGGUGAUAAAAUGAAAAGGUAAAUAAUUAAUCUUUUCUAAUUAGUCAACUCCAUUCACCCAUCAACCGGGAAAUAUUAAAUUUUUGAAAAACUAAGAAAAAGUAAUAAACACUGAACUUACCAGGUAAAAACAGAAGAAGAGGAGAAUCUUUAAUAGGACGGCCACAUUCAACAGGGCAAAACCACCUUGGUGGUCCACCAUCAGGCUUGAUCAUGUCCUUUGCAGCAUCCACAUAAUCUUUCACAGUAUUAGUUCCAUAACCAUCAUCCCACAAUAGUUCCAACUCUUCACAACCCAUUCUUUUCUCAGUUCUAGACUUUAAACUCCCAUUCCCACCAUCAACCAAAUACCCUUUUCCAACUACUACAGGAACUGUUGUUUCCUUGACGGAGACCCCAUCAGUUGACACUACUGACAACUCGUUACCAUCUAAUCUCUCAGCUCUCACUCUAAAACGAGGCUUCUUAUUUAUCCCAAAACGGUGCCAUACCGGGCAAGUAACAGCACCAGCCAUCACUCUCCUACUAAAACUGCAAUAUACUUUAUAACCUUUAAACACAAAUAUCUACAGUUCUACACUUGAUAAACUUAUUGCAGCCUUUCUUCAAACACCAAAAAUGCCAGGUUGUCCAUAAAAUCGAGCAACUUCAAACUCAAUGGGAACAACUUGCCAAAAGAACUUGUUGGAACCCUUUUUCAAGCAGAAGAAACAACAAGUAUAAUGUUGCCUAAAACCCUCUAACUGAAACAUGUCACACUUUUUAUACCAAAUAUGUAUUUUAAUAUAAAUAUAAGAAGAAAGUAGAGUACAAGAAUGAAAUUUGGUGCAAACACCCAUAUAACAAAACAUGGUUAAUUUUACACUUUACUGUUUCAUAUAUUUCUAUAGUUUAUUGUCAAAAAAUCAUGGAAUGACAGCAAAAAUGUUUUAAGUUCAUAGAAUUUUUAUCUUCUUUUUACAGGAUGUAAAGAUAUUGUUCUUUUUUUAAUAAAAAAAUCCCCCAAAUUUCCAUUAACUUCCACUGGUUUAGCCAUGAAUAAUUACUGUAUCAAUACACUCAUUUGGAUGGUGUGUUUAACAGUUAUAUUUUCAUAAAGAUGUACAAAAGAAAAAGGGAAGAAAUGGCGGGUUUUGGUAGUUGUUGGUAACGGUAAAUUAAGAUGGGAGUUUCUAGACAAAAUCUAUAGGAAUCAAAUCUUUAAAUUUGUAUAUUGAUAAUCAACAUGAUUUACAUUAUUACUGCUCAAGAAAUUAAUUCCGAAACAUAUUAUGUGAAUUAUCAGUAUCUAUUAAAAUAUUAAUAAUAAAAAUUAUACUUUUUAUGAAUAACAAGAAAUUUUUCUAAUAUUUUUAUUCCUAACAAAUAUUACUCAUUCGAUUUGUUUUUUGGUAAAUUCCAAGAAGAAGGAAAAAUCAUAACAGUAAUGCCUUUAACAAAUUAUAUAUGAACUCUAACAAAUUUUUUAAUUCUUAGAUUCGAGUUCUCCAUUUACUUGUGCCUAAAUUAGCGUGAUAUAUUUGAUUGCUAACAGUUUUUCUUAAAAUUAUUUUACAAAUAUUUCUUAAUUAUUAAUGCUAAAUUUUAAGCACAUAUUUUUUAAUUUAUAUUUAAUUUAAUUAUUCUCAUAACAUAAUUAUAAAUUAAUAAUCAAUGUUAACUUGGUUACAUAGAUAUAAUAUUUUUUUUUGAUAGAAGAUAUAAUAAACUUAAAUAUCUUUAAUAUAUACAAUUAUUAUCAUUAUUUUAUAAAUAAUACAACUAAAAUAAAAAAUUAAUCGUAUCGUAUGGCUUUCUAUAUUUAUUAAAUAUUUUCAAUUAAAAGAUGAAAAUGAUUAUAAUAUUUUCUUUUAAAUAUUCUUGUGCUUAAUGAAUGAAUAGUUUAUACUAUAAAUGCUUCUACAAAUAAUCCUUCACCAAAUAUGCACAAUAAUUAAAAAAAUUAAUAUAAGUAAGAAAUAUACACAUUCCCACAUGUUUUUAAAUCUCAUAAUAAUGAGAAAACAAAAAAAAAAAAAAUUCUUCUCUCACACUAUUAAAUUUUUUUUCCAUCUUUAUAUACAUUUAUAGAAACAACACCAUGAAUUUCAUUUUUUUCUCCGGCUUGCAUACAUUUGAAAAUUUAAUUUUUUUUAUAAAUAGAUUAUUUUAGUUUAUUAAACUUUCAAAGCACAAAUAUAAAUUGAUAAAAAAUUGUAGUCCAUAAUCUAAGCGCUUCAAAAUAUCUUAAUUCUCUCACGCUAGAAAAGACCAUUACUUUCUCACUAAUGAAAAUUAAAGGAUAACAUGGUAAUAAACAUUUUGUAGAUUUUUUGCUACCAAUAAAUUUUUUUAUAAGUUUUAGGUAUUUAAAAAGAUUUUAUUUUAAAAAAUUAUGAUUUUUAGCAACUUAAAAGUGGAGGUUUAAGCUUAAUAAUAAUAAGUGUUAUGUAAUAACUGAUUUAAAAAAAAUGUUUUAUGGUUAAAAAUUAGUUUUCACAUGAAUCUUAAUAUAUUUUAUUUACACAAAUUAUAUUGAAUUUUUAAUAUAAAAUAUUACAUGUACACAAUCAACCUAUGCAUCGCAUGAAAAUACAAAUUAAUUAAUAUUUUGUUAAUUAUUUUUAAACAUCAAUCUUAAUUUUUCAUUUAAUCAAUUUAUAUAAUAACUUUUUAAAUAAGAUAUUUAAUCGUCUUAAAUCCUCGAAACUUAUUCCAUUGUUCCAUGCUCAGACUUUGAUCAAUAUGACUUUUUUCAACUCAUAGAUAAAGUACGUGGACAUGCAUACACGGAUAUAUUAUACAUGAAUAUUUAUACUAGAUAUAAACUUGCAAACUUGAUCCCAUAUUCAAAAUGCUUUGCGCUGCUUCACUCGUGAACCAUCAGAGAGAGUGGUGUUGCACACCAAACACCAGUUUCCAGCUACACUAACACUUCGUUAAAUGGGAAGAAUUUUCUUUUGUGAUUCAAGCCGGUAAAAGUAUUAUAGAAGUCCAGAUUGCAUUUUGAAUCUACUCAAAAUAUAGGUAAAUUAAUUCAUUUGCAUUAAAUCAAAAAGUAAAUUGAUGAAACAUUCCCACAGUUAAAAACUGAUCUUUGUAUGCCGGUAUGAGAUACCCGUACUAUACCACACGUCACUGUCUGAUUAUUCUGUCAACCACUUCAUUUUUUAACAAUAAAAAAUGAUGUAUUUUUUUUUAUAGAAAUUACCAAUUUACUUUUAUUUAUUUAUUUAACAUAUAAGGACUAAUUUGACGAAUUUUUUAGUGAAAGAGACAAAAUACAAUCUUACUUUUAAUACAGAGACCUCCAUGAUAUUUUUGCCCAUUCAAACUCAAACUCCCAAGUGAAUAUUAGAUAUGGGUAUAUGUAAGCAAAGAGUAUAAUAUUUCUUUUUCAAGUCGUUUCUUGUAUUUGAAUAUACAAAAGUGAAGUGCUGGAAAUGAAUACUUCCGCCUUGGUCCAUAAGAAAAACAUCAGCUCCAAAACUUCAUCUAAAUUUCACAAUUAAACACAAGGACCCAGAAUUUAUAAACAAUGCAAAAACCAGAAAGUACAGACCAAAUCAUAGAUGGCACCUCCUAAAGGCAACAUAAUGAACAAACUAAACUAAGAUGUGAGUUCAGAAUACUCUUAAAAUCACUUAAAAGCAGCAAACAACUCCUUAAAUAAACAUAGUAUCAAUUUCCCAAAGUAUCAACUCGUAGAUAAGCAUGAAAUACGACUCAAAAAUCUAACCGGCUACUGUAACUAACCCGGUGCAGCAAUUAUGAUUUCGUUUCUUGCCUCCGGAAACUACUGAAAGAUUGACAAGGUGUUAAAGCGAUAUUUUCCAGAAACAAGACUGAUUAUGCAAUUUGUCUUAUUUCUGGGAAUUAAAAAGUAAAAGAUAAAAAACUUCAAAAUAGUUUCUAUGGAUAAAAAACUUCAUAAUAGGUGCCUGAUCUUUUGUCCUAGAAAGCACCUUUUUUUUGGCUAAUUGUCCCCGGAGUUAUGAACACUUCUGCCGCUUGCAUUUCAAUCCUAGAGCUUCUUUCUCUCUUUCACCUGAUGAAUGGCAAGAACAUCUUGACUAGACAAAGACGAAAGGUUUAUGUACCUCGAUCCACUUGACUAUGUAUGGAGAAAUGCUCCAAUAUAAGAAAAAAAAUCAUCUUUCGAUAUAUACAUGUGUAUAAAUAAGGAUCCCAUACACUUCUGGCCAUGAUAGGCAACCUCAGAUGAAUAAUAUGAUUCUCAACACUUUACAAAAGGCAUGAGCUUUCCACUUGAAAUACUGAGACCAACCUGCAGCCUGAUAGAUAUACGAUAGAAUACAGUUCAAACACUAGUUAAACAGAGAGCCUGCCAUGGAUAAUGGGCAAAUAUUCUCAAAGAGAAACUAUAUGAUGUUAAUCCACGGAUCAAAAUGAAGAUACAAUGAUUCCAUUUUAAAUUGACAGAAUUAACAGGGAAGAAUUGAAUUAUCAGCAGGCUUCCUCUCAAAAAAUCGAAUUACCCUCCCCCUUUUUCUUUCCAAAACCAAAAUGAAAUAAAACAUAAAACAAAGUGAUACAAGUUUCCCGCUUUUAUCAUAUGACAAAUAGUGUUCCCUGAAGAAUAUACAUCAAUGUGUGUUAUUCUGUAAAGAGUAAUAUAGGUCACUUAACUAACAUGUAUAAGUCGCAGCUGACUCUCAGAAUCAACAAAUCACCUGCCUUGAAUAACUCUAUAAUUAAGUACCAAAUCCUCGGGUUUCUUCCAUAUAUAAGCCCGUACAGUAGGUAAGCUCAUAUCAGGAGAUAAUACCUGGAACAGAUAGUAAACAGAUAAAAAAAAGGGGCCAGCAUACUGUGAUUGAACUUGAACUAACAAGUUGGUCUAAAAUUAUUUUUCUAUGUUUAUUUCAAAUUCCACAGAUUGAAAUAUUGGUAAGAGAAAAUGAGGAAAAAGUCACACAACUUUGACAGAUAUGCUCUUAGCCAAUGGCAUUUUAGCAUUCAACAAGCAAUUGACUUGCCUGAUUAUUGCAUAAAAUCUCAACAGAAGGCCGAAGCUUUUGCCGUGGCUUCAAUCCAGACCGAAAAGAUCCAUCUCCAACUGCCGAAUGCUGCAAUUGUCCUCCAAUUCCAGGAGCAAAUGUUCCGACGGUAUUUAAAUUAUCAAUUGGUUUGUCAAGCACCAUCUUUUCUUUGACAUAAUUAAUAACCUACAAAACCACAACAGAGUGAAUGUAGUCUCAUCAAUAUACUGUAUAUGCGCCCUAAAAUAACAUUUUUAAUAACCUAACAGUGUUCGGACCCUUAUUCCUUCUGUGCUCCGAAAUAUGAAUUUAUUCUAGAGUAUUUACCCGAGUGAUCUAAAUCAGUAUAAUAACGGCAUUUGCUACCUUGCACAAUCAAUUUCCAUGCAAAAGAAAUUGUCUUUUGCAAGUACUACAGAAAACCAAAUAGACCUACCUUUUGUGUUCUCAAUAUACGCGGUGCACUCAACUUCCCCUGUGUGAGGAUCUGAACAGCUGAACCUUCACAUGGAUGAAGGUAGAAGCUGCACCUGAAAAAAUGAAAAGGGAAUUCAUCAAGAGAGAGAAAGGACUGAAAGACACCCUAGUGAACACCGGAAAAAUAAAAUAUGGGGAAACGAAGGGAUAUUGACUUGUAUUUAGUAAAAAUACUAUCAAUAAUGCUCAUUAUUAGGGUCUGAUAUCAUGCUUUGUGAUAGUUUCUUGUUUUUACGAUUUUAGCAAGAUUAAAUAGAGGCUAUUAUAACUAAUAAAAAGUAUGGAAAAGAAUAAAGUUUUUUUCUCAAAAAUUCUCUCCCUUCCUUGGCAAAUUCUUUUUCUGCCAAAAUUUCUCUUUCUCUGCAAAGCAUAAGAUCUUAUUCUAAACCAUUCCUAAAAAAGGGGGGGGGGAUGAAGCCUCUCAAAUCAGCCAUGGCAAGAAGAAGAGGUACCAUCCUACUUGAGAACCUCCACAACAUAAAAAUAUACUUAUAUGAGUGCUCCCAAUGCUUGACACGAGAAAACCAGUGUGUGGAUUCUGGAUUCAGGGGCAUCAGAUCAUGUGAGAUGUGACAGUGUUUCAUAAAUAUAAUCCAUGUCGUGAUAAUGGUGGAAAGUGCUGAUGGGUCUCUUUAAGGUGGCUGGUACAAGUUCAGUUAUUAACUCAAGGAUAUAACCCUUGAUUCAAUAGCAUUUGGGCCAAAUUUUGAUUGCAUUAUGCUAGCCAUACAUAAGAUUACAAGAGACCCUAAUUGUGUUGCUAAAUUACUCCCAAAAUGUGUGAAUUUCGAGUCUUGGACUCGAGGAAGACAAUAGGCUAUGCUAGGAUGUGGAUGGGCCUCUACCUUCUCAAAGUUGAUGUGCCAAAAAGGCAAUCUCAAAAACCAACUUGUGCGGCUUCAUCAGCUUAUAUCAACAAGGGAUGGAGCAAUAAUUUUGUGGCAUUACCGAUUAGGUUAUUUGAAUUUCAAGUAUCUAGAAAAAAGGUAUCUCAAUCACUCAACAAAAAUAUGCUCCAGAUCUAUUGAAAGAAACAUGGAGGCUUAGGUGCAAACCAACAGACACCUUCAUGGAUCUUGCUAACAAGAUGGAAAUAGAGUAUGGAUCAUAUUUGAUCCAAUUGAGAAGCUUCUAGAACCUAUGGAUCAUAUCCUUAAAUAUCUAAAUGGAAGUCCUAGCAAAAGAACAUACUCAAGAAAAUAUCAAACAGAGAUGUCAAACAUACACAGAUGCUGAUUGGGCUAGUUCCAUGAUAGACUGAAGAUCAACCACCUAUUGUGACACUUUUUCUAUAGGGAGCCUGACUACAUAAAAAAACCAAGAAGUAAUCUGUCACAGCCACAAACAAUAGAAAAGCUGAAUUUAAAACAUUGUCACAUGGCAUUUGUGAGUGAAUGUGGUUAGAACAAAUGUUGAAUGUAUUAAAUAUAUCUACAGGAAAUUCCAUGAAACUUUAAAAUGAUAAUAAGCCAAUAAUAAGCAUUGCCAAAAACCCCAUUCACCAUGAUCGAACUGAACACGUGAAGAUCGAACGCCACUUCAUCAAAGAGAAGAUUAAAAAAAAAAAGAAGAAUUCUUAGACUAGUUGAUAUUGAACCUUUUGAGAAUCACACCCCAAAAGCUAGCUAUUAAGGUUGGAGAGCCUACAUACAUAUAAACCCCAUAAGGAAUUCUCAUACAUCCCUAUGUGGGAUCCAAAUUCAAACCUUACAAUUCCGUACAUAUCAAUCCACCAAGCUCCGCAAUUCCAAUCCCUACAUGGAUUAGCUUUGUGCUAGCUUAUUCUAGCCUCAGGCCUACACUACACUACCAAUGUCACCAUCUAUCACAUUAUUGCAAUUAAAAGGCGUGAGGACUAGCUAAGUCUCAUACCAAUUAGUAUGAGCCUUUGGAGAACCACACCCAAAAGCUAGUGAUUGAAAUUAGAGAGCCUAUGUCCAUUUAAACCCUACUAGAAAAUCCCACACUUUGCCCCACAGCUUGCAGUUGAGUACAUAUCACUAGUCUAUAUAUUUCCGUGCCACCAAACUGGAAAUGGCAUUAUGUUGAAAUAUUUUUGAGAACUUUAAGUCCAAGCUGGACGUGAUAAAUAUUUUUGAGAACAGGCUUUUUCUAUUCCGUCUUAUUCAUAAGAAAUUACAUAAAUAUUUAUACACAUAGUAAGCCUAACUUAGGAAACUCUAUACUAGGAAAUAGACUAACUCUAGGGAUGCUGUCUAAAAAAAACAGCCUUAAAGUUAGGGAUAGUAAUCAGUAAAAUAUUUACAGAAUCCUAUCUGAUAUACUUAAAUAUUCCUUAAUUAGUAAACUGUAAUCUGACACUCCCCCUCAAGCUGGGAAGUGGAUAUCAUCCAUUCUCAGCUUGCUUACUAGUUUUUGAAACAACUUUCCAGACAACCCUUUGGUAAGUAUGUCUGCUAGUUGACCAUCAGUGGACACAAAUGGAGUGCAAAUUAAGCCACUGUCCAGUUUUUCCUUUAUAAAAUGUCUGUCAACCUCAACGUGCUUCGUACGAUCAUGUUGAACUGGAUUAUGUGCAAUAUUGAUAGCAGACUUAUUAUCACAAUACAACUUCAUUGGACCUUCCCACUUGAACUUCAAAUCUUCCAAAAUAAUUUUUAGCCAUAAUAGCUCACAAAUUCCAAGAGCCAUCGCCCUAAAUUCAGCUUCUGCACUAGAUCUAGCCACAACAUUCUGUUUUUUACUCCUCCAAGUCACAAGAUUGCCUCCUAGGAAAGUGCAAUAGCCCGAGGUUGAUCUUCUAUCAACCAUAGACCUUGCAUAAUCUGUAUCAGUAUAAGCUUCAAGGGUUAAAUUCUCCCCCUUUUUAAAUAGGAUUCCUUUACCUGGCGUGCCCUUUAAGUACUGUAGAAUUUGAUACACAGCUCUAAGAUGUGAUUCUUUGGGGUUGUGCAUAAACUGACUUACAACACCGACUGCAUAGGCAAUAUCCGGUCUGGUAUGAGACAAGUAAAUGAGCUUCCCCACAAGUCUUUGAUAUGAACUUUUAUCAACUGCUGCAUCUUCUAGUGCAUCUCCAAGUCUGUGAUUCACCUUUAUGGGUGUGUCUGCUGGUUUACAUCCCAACUUGUCUGUCUUUGUCAACAAAUCAACUAUGUAUUUUUGCUGAGAUAUGAAGAUUCCUUCCAGAGAGUGUGCCACUUCAAUACCAAGGAAAUAUUUUAACUUUCCGAGUUCUUUGACUUCAAAUUCUUUUACUAGGCAUUUCUUUAAAUUCUCCAUUCCUUCCAGGUCAUCACCAGUCACUAUAAUGUCAUCUACAUAGACUAAUAAAGCAGUCACUCCCCCUGAAGAUGAGUGUUUUACAAACAGAGUGUGAUCUCCUUAACUCUGUUUAUACCCCAACUUGAGCAUUACUGAUACGGGGUUGCGCGCGGACCAAGAUCGAGUUGCCAAGUCACGAGAAACUCCUACGAAAACCCUAAACAAUUAGAUCUAAAACGAAACAGAAAAUUAAAAUAUUAGAUUUUUGAAUUUUCAGAUCUGAAAUAAAAUCCCCAAAUCAGUAAAGAAUCAAAUUGAGAAUAGAAAUAAGUGUUAGGGUUCUUGAAACCAUCAAGGAGAUUGUGAUUCUGCCCAAUUGAACACCAAGAUAGUUUUCCCCAAAUUUCGACAAUCUAAUUUCACCAAAAAAGAGUAUGGAAAAACCCUAGAAAUUGGGGAUUUUUGGGCUGAUUCUUUAAGAUAGAAAAAGGCUGAAAACACAAUAAGAACAGAAAAUAGAUUAGAUAAUGAUUCAGCACAAGUAGAAAUAAAGAAAGAAUUGACAGUAAGAAAUUAAAAGAUAAGUCCUAAGAAGCCUUGAAAUCUCGAAAGGUCUCACAACUCCCUUCAAACGGCUCUAAUCUCCCCUCCAAAGAAUAUCAAUGGCAAGAAGAAGGUUGAAGAUGGCUCCCACAAUCACAAGAUUGUUAAAACAGCUUCUAAAGAAAACUCAAGAGAAAAAUCUUGGAGAAAACUCAAAAAAAUUCUACUCUCAACAAAUCUGAAAUUUUAAUAAUAAUGAUAAGUGUUUAACAAGGUGGACAGCCAUGCCUUUAAAUAGGCAUUAUAACUAGUCCUAAUCUAAUUAGAAAACUAAAAUAAAAAAAACUCCUAAUUAUUUUAAUAUGGAAAUUCGGUCAAAUGUUAUUUUAUCUAGGACUCUUGGACUGAAUAUUGACAUAAAAAUUUAAACUAAGUAAAUAAAUAAAUAAAUAAAUAAAAAUAAAACUUUACAACUUGGGCCACUUUGACAAUUUGGCCUGAUUUUCAACUAAGUAUGGAUGGAUUUCUUGAUUGGGCUUGGAAUCUUCUUAUUGGGCUCGCCUUCAAGAAUUUGGGCUUUUGUGACUCGUAUCAUUCCCCCUUCCUCAAAAAGAUUCGUCCUCGAAUCUGAAAAAUCAAAUGAACUCGACUUUCCUCUAUCGAACGGGACUAAUGGCAAUUGAGUCCACUGAGAAGAAUAGCCAUGAGAUAGUAAAUAGCAACGGAAACAAGCUUGUAGUCCAAUCAUAAGCAUAACAGAACACGUAUAACGCAUGUGAAUGGACAGAUUCAGAUUACCAUGCAAACAAUCUAAUUUACUCACCACUGCCUCGUCAAAUAUUUGAAACAAAGAUGGACAUGUUUUAAGGCAUUCAGUCGUCUCACAUUGUUCCCACAAACCAUGAAUAAAUUGCGAGUAAUAAAUCAAAUGGUAAACAUAAUCGUCACAAGUAGGUAUUUGAAAAGAUUCACAUGGUUCACAGAGUUGCAUAAUCAUACCAUGCAUUAAUCGACGGUCUAUAGAUUCACUCACACAUGCAUUAUCAAAAACAAGAAUCUUUUUAUCAACCAUCAAAACAGAUAGAUCAUCAAUAAAUAAAAUAGGACAGUCAAGCACGUUUCGAUCUAAGUGUUCAUCAACACGAUCUUUAUCAUUAUCCGAGGAGUACAAAAGUGUUUCAAAGGUGUCAAGCAUCUUACCUCGAUAAGCAGAAGAAUAAGGGUCGAUUUUACCUUUUUCAUUUAAAACAAACCUUCGCUCAUUGGGGGUAUAGUGUACUCGAAUCUUCGUUGUUGAGUUAACGUUUGUCAAAUGGAACUCAAACUUCAUGUACAACCACAUAAACUGUUUAAGGCACGAAUAUAAAUUGAAAACAAAUUUGGAAAAUUUCGUUACCUUAUUCUCCAAAACAGAUUUGGACAAAUUCAAGGAUUUUACAUAAGGUAAAUCAAGAGAAUAACAAAUCACGCUUCUUUUCGUAAUGACUUUAUCAACCACAAUCGAAGAGUAACAAUUAAUCAGAUCAAAAUGAGGAGAUCUUUUAAGAACUAAGUCACCAAAAGUUUUAUCAAUAAUUUUCAAAUCUGCACUGGACUCGGUUUCUAAAAUUUCCUUACCUCGCUUACCUUCGGGAUCAUGUAGUGUGAUUUCAUCUUUGCUUAAGUUGAUCGUAUGAAAGCGUCUUUCAUUUGAGAGGUAUUGAAGUUGAAAGUUAUCUUUCGAUCUUUCGGGAACCUGAAAAGUAGCAACACAAGAAAAAUUCAUAUCUUGGUUAGUGGAAACAUUCCUCACUACCCUUUCCACGUCUUUUUCUUUUGUUUCUUUUUCUAAUUCAUUUUCUCUUCUUUCUUCAAUUUCUUUUUCACUCUCAAUCUCUUUUUGCUCUUUUUCAUUCUCUUUUUCUUUUUUCUCACUUGUUUUAACAGAAUUUUUCAGUUUGAUUUGGUCCUCAUGGACUUGUUCCAGAGUGAGCGGCACUAAGGUGAGUUUCUUUCCUUGAUGCUUGAAAGAAUACCUAUUGGUACGACCAUCGUGAGUGACUUUUCGAUCCAGUUGCCACGGUUCUCCUAGCAACAAAUGGCAGGCUUGAAUAGGCAUUACGUCGCACACAACUUCGUCUUGAUACUUACCGAUAGAAAAGGCGAUGCGCACUUGUUGAGUGACCCUAAAUUGGCCUUCGUUGCUAAGCCCUUGUAGUUGAUAAGGUUGUGGAUGCUUGGUAGUGGUUAAGCAAAGCUUUUCCACCAUCGUCGUGCUGGCUAUGUUCGAGCAACUUUCACCAUCAAUAAUAACUCUACAAAGCUUACCUUGUACGUGGCAGCGAGUAUGAAAGAGAUGUUCUCGUUGCUGCUCGCUCUUUGGUUUUGCCAAAGAUGAUUCUCCAUGAUCAUGACAAUCAUCAUCCAUUCUAGGGACACGUUGAGGGUUGCACCUAUGGGGCUGGUUAUCCCUAUCUUCCUUAAUUGGAUCUCGAUAUUGAUGUUUUUGAUUCACUCGUACCUCAUUCAAAGUAGUAUUCAAUGCUUGAAGUGUAGCAUUUAUUUGUGUGAUUGCAGCAGUAUGUCUGUCUAACUGUUGUUGGACUUUCAUAAGUGCAUCAUUAUUAUCACCUUUAGACAUCUUCAAAACCUGUAAAAAAUAAACACUCAACACUCAAAAAUAAAAGUUAGCAAACCUCACCAUUAAUCACUCAAAAAGAAAAAUCAAAUUCUCAAUGAGGUCAAAUUCAAUCUUGUGAGUUCUUUAUCAGAGUUUAUAUCAACCAAUUAGAGAGUGUGAACCAAACUAUCAAAGAAUCCUAAUUUGCACUAGGAUGCCAAAAACUGACGAGACACCAAGUGAUUCGUGUUGCACCGAGGAAGGAUUGUGCACACGUUUAAAUCCUACUAACACAAGAAACAAGAAGGUGUUAGAUAUUUUAAAAGGAUAAUAAAAAGCAAACAAAUGAAAACCUACAGCUAAGAAUCAAUAAAAAUUGCUGAAAACAGAAAACCCGAAAAACUGUGGAGUAACUUGACAACUUCGUUCGAGGUGUUCCCGAUCUCAAAAAAUCACAAAAUUAAAUCUCGAAUGUCCUUAAAUAUUUAAUUUUUGAUCUGGAAAGUUUGGGCACCAAACUCAACCCGCUGAAUUUUUUUUAAAUUUUUAUUGGAUUUCGUCUUUUUUUCGAUUUUUUGACUUUUUUGACUGAUUUUUUUGCAGGAAUAAAUUUUUUAUAUUCAAUCACAGUGCCACAAAUAUGUAUGUAAAAUUUCAGAUCAAUUUGACAACGUUUACCCACUCAAAUAAAAUUUUUUUGAAAGAUUUUUCUGGGUAAAACUGCUGUUUUUGCUUUAAAAUAUUGAGAUCAGUUUAGAAAUCAACCAAGAACACCCAAAACGCCCAAAAUCUGAUACCAAAUGAUACGGGGUUGCGCACGGACCAAGAUCGAGUUGCCAAGUCACGGGAAACUCCUACGAAAACCCUAAACAAUUAGAUCUGAAACGAAACAGAAAAUUAAAAGAUUAGAUUUUUGAAUUUUCAGAUCUGAAAUAAAAUCCCCAAAUCAGUAAAGAAUCAAAUUGAGAAUAGAAAUAAGUGUUAGGGGUCUUGAAACCCUCAAGGAGAUUGUGAUUCUGCCCAAUUGAACACCAAGAUAGUUUUCCCCAAAUUUCGACAAUCUAAUUUCACCAAAAAAGAGUAUGGAAAAAUCCUAGAAAUUGAGGAUUUUUGGGCUGAUUCCUUAAGAUAGAAAAAGGCUGAAAACACAAUAAGAACAGAAAAUAGAUUAGAUAAUGAUUCAGCACAAGUAGAAAUAAAGAAAGAAUUGACAGUAAGAAAUUAAAAGAUAAGUCCUAAGAAGCCUUGAAAUCUCGAAAGGUCUCACAACUCCCUUCAAACGGCUCUAAUCUCCCCUCCAAAGAAUAUCAAUGGCAAGAAGAAGGUUGAAGAUGGCUCCCACAAUCACAAGAUUGUUAAAACAACUUCUAAAGAAAACUCAAGAGAAAAAUCUUGGAGAAAACUCAAAGAAAAUUCUGCUCUCAACAAAUCUGAAAUUUUAAUAAUAAUGAUAAGUGUUUAACAAGGUGGACAGCCAUGCCUUUAAAUAGGCAUUAUAACUAGUCCUAAUCUAAUUAGAAAACUAAAAUAAAAAAACUCCUAAUUAUUUUAAUAUGAAAAUUCGGUCAAAGGUCAUUUUAUCUGAAACUAUUGGACUGAAUAUUGACAUAAAAAUUUAAACUAACUAAAUAAAUAAAUAAAUAAAUAAAAAUAAAAAUAAAACUUUACAACUUGGGCCACUUUGACAAUUUGGCCUGAUUUUCAACUAAGUAUGGAUGGAUUUCUUGAUUGGGCUUGGAAUCUUCUUAUUGGGCCUCGCCUUCAAGAAUUUGGGCUUUUGUGACUCGUAUCAAUUACUUUGGUAAAUCUUCCAAACCAAGCCCUCGGGGACUGUUUUAGUCCGUACAAAGCCUUUUUUAGUCUGCAAACUACCUGUCCUGUAUUUGGACCGAAUCCUGGUGGAACAUCCAUAUAUACUUCCUCCUCAAGAUCACCAUGUAAAAAGGCGUUUAUGUCAAAUUGCUGUAAUUUCCAGCCUCGGUUGGCAGCUAGUGACAACAACACUCUCACAGUGUUCAUCCUCCUCGUAUUCUGUUCCUGAAAAAGACAUCGAUUGUGAUAGAAAACCACACUACAGUUAGAGUCUUUGGUAAUUCUUUGGAUGGAUAGAAGAUUGGUAAAUAGUUUUGGAACAUGAAGGACAUUUUUAAGAGUAAGGGUUUUGUUUAUAACAAUAUCACCCUGACCAACCACUGUGAUCACAGAACCAUCGACUACUGUUAUCUUUCUACUACUAGGACAAGGUGUAUAUGAAACAAAUUUUUGUGAGGAGUGGGUCAUGUGGUCUAUAGCUCCUGAGUCAAUGACCCAAGAACUUUUUGUGGGUAUAUCCGAGAUUUUAGAAUUUUGAGAAGAGAAUAUACCUGAAAAAACCAAACCACUAGUAGAUUCUUCAACUUCUCAAUUUCUUCUUUACUGAACUCAACAGAUGAUUCUUGAGAAUUCCCUUCUCCAAUGUUGCUGGUUUUGACAGUUUCAGCCAUGUUUCUUUUGAACAAAUUCUACAGGCUUGAGGGUUGAUCGGGAAUGAGAAGAAGUUGCCAGACAAAGAAAAAAAUCCCAGAAUUUGAGCUAAAAAAACGGCUCUAAUACCAUGUUAAGAACAGGCUUUUUCUAUUCCAUCUUAUUCAUAAGAAAUUACAUAAAUAUUUAUACACAUAGUAAGCCUAACUUAGGAAACUCUAUACUAGGAAACAGACUAACUCUAGGGAUGCUGUUUAAAAAAAACAGCCUUAAAGUUAGGGAUAGUAAUCAGUAAAAUAUUUACAGAAUCCUAUCUGAUACACUUAAAUAUUCCUUAAUUUGUAAACUGUAAUCUGACAAUAACCCAACGUGAGGGGAAGCGUGGGAAUCAAGGGACAUUGACUAGUAUUUAUAAAAAUCUUUUAGGAGCACUUAUGUUGAUUGAGGUUUGGUAAAGAUGUUUUUGUAAUAAUUUAUUUACUAGUGGUUGGUAAAGAUAAUUUAAGAGUAAUUGCUGCAUUUUAUAAUAAUCCCCAUUAUUAGAGCCAUAUCAAGCUUUGGAAUAGUUUUGGGUUUUUAGGGUUCAAUCAAAUAUAAAUAUAGGCUAUUGUAACUAAGAAAAAGUAAAAAUAAAAAUAAAAAUAUUUCUCUCUCAUAAUUUUUCAUUCUCUCCCUCGAGAAACUCUUUUUCUCCAAAAUUCUCUUUCUCAACAAAAUUCAUAUUAUCCACAUGGUUCUUGAUGUCGAGCGACAAUGUAUGGGAAGCACAUUUCCUUUUUCUAAAUCAAGAGAAAAGCAGAUGUCCACAAGAAAAGUAUCAAUAAAGGCUAUAACAAAACAAAAACAUAGAAAGCUAACACUUCCAAUUAAGUUCAUCUCUGUGUAGCAAGCCUAUUGACAAAAAGAAGUCGACCAAUAAGCAAAGGAAAGUUUAAUGAGGUUACAGAAGUUACUUGGUGUUCUCUCGUGAUGGGAGCUGAUUAUUCAAUACACAGUCCAAAACCCACCAUGGGAAGUCCUUCUCAUCCUCAAUACCAUCCAAUUCAGUAAUUUUCUUUCUCCAAGGACCUCCUUGAGAACCUUCAGUGAUAAUUGAAGGAGGGGAAACUGUAGACAACUCAAAAGGAGGAUAGACUGUGGAGUCAUUAAGAGCAUUUCCAUCCACCUCAAUUCUUGAAUGAGCAAGACUUCUUGGAGUAGUAUCUUUUCUUGAUAAAGCAUUUCCAUUAGCUGGAGUCUGCAAGCCAAGUCUUUGCCUUCUUUUGGUCAUCCAAUGAGCCAACAGACCUUUAAGGGUUUCCCGGCCUAGAUUAACCUGCCAAAGACAGUCAAAACCAGAUGAAUGCAAUAAUCACAGAUUUCUCACAUAUACUACAUCAAAAGAUUGCCACAAUCAAUGGAAAAACCUAAUACCUUAUCAUCCUCAGACUUGCCAGUUAUAUUCAGAUCAGCAGAAUACAUCUCUGCAGAAAAACAUUGGGGUGUGUCCAAAUGAACAGAGAAGCUUCCAAGUCGGGCAUCCAGAGUGAACCAUGAAGGGAUGCUUACCUAGAAUGGUUUUAAACAAAAAUCAAGAGUAAAUUCCAAAAAUAAAAUUGAAUUAUAUUGAAAUGACUUAACUUCAAAUAAAUAGUUACCGCACCAUCUCAAACAACUGCUCCUUUUUCUCAUCAAAUGAGACCUGGGCAUUGAAAUUAAAGAAAUAUAUAAAUGCAUACAACUAAAAACAUAACGGUGCAUGUACAAGUGCGUUUAUGUGCACCCAACCUGAAAGUGAAAGCAAAGGGCAAUCCACUUCUCUCAAGAAAGAAAGAUGGAAAAUGAGGAAGAAUCUAGUUCACCUGUCCAUAGUCCUCGAUCACAAUACCCUUGAUUAUAUCCCAGAGCUUUACUGAACCAGCAGUAUCCUGUUAAGGAAGCAUAAAUAUAAAAAAAUGGAACUAAAACCCAACAAAUAUAGGUACUGCUAAAUUUACCUUAGUCAACACAUCCCUUCUGUUAUUUAAAAUUUCAUGCUGAACUAUUGCUGGAGUUCCAGGAAUAGUAAAGAUUGGCUCUUUAUAAACAGGAGCCUGCCAAUACCCAAUAAUGUCUGAACAUCAGUAAAGGGAAAGGGAUAGACAAUCACUGCUACAACAAAUUCCACAGACAGCCAAACUUCAAAGAGAUAUCCAUUAAAAAAAUUAAUAAUAAACCAAAACAUUUCAUGGUUCAUGAAAGAAAGUCUAUUACUUGUUCUGUGUUUUCUAGAGGUUGGUUGAACAAGAAACAUAUGAAACAGAACCAUUAACAGCUCAGUGAGAAGCAUCAAAUUCACUAAAAUGCAAGUGUAUAAGCAGAGAUUUUUUAUGAUAAGUGAAGUGAUUUGCUGUAAUUUCAAACACAUAAACAUGAGUACAUACACAGACACUACACUUACUGGGGCUGUCCCUUCUAAACAAACUCUUGCCCUCGAGAAAGACAAGUUUCCAGCCAAGAAUGAACCACCUCUUUGAAAGACCUUCUGAGGAUUUUGUCCUUCAGCAGGCCAUCUAUGAAAUGAAGAAUCUGUUGUUGCAACCCAUAUACUAUCAUCAUCCAAUGCCAACUGCAAAAUUGGGUGUUCCUUUUUGCAAAGCAAUAUACUUUCUCUUGUUGUCAAGUCUGUCAAAUAUAACUGAUGUAGGUAGAAAAGUAAGCACAAGUCGUGAGUUGAAGCUAAAUGUUAGAGGUAGAAGACACGGAUGAGAGGAAUUGUCAAGAUCAAUAACCAAAAAGAUUUAGAUGUUUGGCCAUUAUUUGACAUCAUAAUGAUUUAGAAGUUAUUUAAGCUAAAACAGACAUUAUCAAGUCUUAACAUUAAAUUUCAUCCAGUUAAAGUUAAAAAGUUUUAUUUCGUUUGUUGGUUCAUUAAUUUGGUAAUUUUAACUUUUACAGGAAUUGAAAAUUUUGAUGGUAGGAAUCAUAUUUACUUGAGUUUUCCUUAUUAGGUUUUUAUUCAUUGUUUAGAUGAUGUAAUUUUACCAAGUCAAACUUGAAAGUCUCCUACUUUGCAUCACAUGUCUUUGUAUGAAUAUUAUUACUUGAACUCCAUAAAUUAGCAUGAUUAACUUCAUUCACUAAAAAACAAUUGUAUGAGAACUGCAGCAGCUGUUGUGCCAAUCCUUUCCCUAGUGCAAAGCUUAAGAAAUUCUAGAUGCGAAACCUAUACCUUAAUUCUUCUUCUUACUAUAUUACUUCAGGCAAUGGCUUCAAUCUUACACCAACCUUAAAUCCUUCUAACUCCACUCACGCAAAUUCAUUAUCAAAUUAAACCCUUAACCAUUAAAUUAACACCUGUGAGUACUGUUAACAGUAGCAGCAUAUCCCAAUCUAAAUCCCAUUACCAAAACUCGAAAGCAUCCCAAUCUAAAUCCCAUUACCAAAACUCGAAACCCCUAAUUAUUAUUGUAAUUUCCAAUCCUUUAGUCUAAAUCAAGCCUGAAAUAGUAAUCAGCCAUAACCCUACAUCAGCACAAAGUACUAGUCAAUUUUCAUAUCAAAACAUUAGCAAAAAAGAUAUACAUGUCCAUCAAAUAGGUUUGGCAUGAAUAUGUACUUACAGAAAGAUCUCUACCACCACUGUAAACAUGACCAAAUGUUGGGGUGCUUGCAAGUGCCCAAACAGAAUCUGUAUGCAGCGCAUAAGAGUGCACGCAACGUUGCUGACCAAGAUCCCAUAGCCUACAAAAUAGAAUUAGCCAUUUAAAAGGCAAUGCCUUAGAUUCUAUAUGGUCAAAAAUGGCAUGUGGUUAUAUAACAGCUAAACCAACAAAUUGUGUACCUGAUCAUAGAAUCAGAGGACCCAGAUAAACAAUAUCUGAAAGAAAACAAAAUAUCUGUCAAAAACAUCACUGGUUAAAUAAAUAGAGCAGAAGAGCAUGCAAUCAAAUAACAGAAUUCACCAGAAGAAAAUCAAGGGAAUGACCCAUCAUACAACAAUAAACUUCUAGAUAUGUCCAAAGAAAAUUAUUCAUUCCAAUUUCACUAGAAAGCCAUAUUGCAGUUGAAAACAAAUGCAGACAAGUACAUCUGAUCUGCAUAGAGGCAUAAGCCCAUAACAAGGUUCAGUUUCCUCAGUUCACCCACCCUCAUUGUUCUCGAAAUAGCAUCCAGGGACAAUUGGAAAUGCACCAAAAUUUUCCAAUCAACCAACCAGUUUAGGCCAGUACUAACUGUUCCGCAGUUGCAAGAUGAAUUAUCAGACAAAAAAAAUGCUUCUUGUAAUGCAUAAUAAAGCUCCAAAACUGUAAGGCCUCCAACUAACAUCAAGCAAUUUCUACUUCAAAUCAUAACUAAGGGCUGCAGAGCUGAAUGUAUUGCACCCACCUGCCAGUAGAAUCCAGAAGGAGAGCCCUGGUGUUAUCUAUAUGCCCUCUUAGCUUCAUAGUCUUUGAACCAGUUCUUGGAUCCCAAACUCGCAAAACCUAUAUGUAAGUGAGGUAAAGAUAAGACAAUCUCUUCCAAAAUGUCAUAGGUGGAGAGAAACAUGAUAUUGUCAGAAAACUUGAAUUCAGUAAGAAGCGCAAACUACCUUCUCAGUUCCACCAGACACAAGAAGGGUUCCAUUAUCAUUCAUUGCCAAUGCAUAGACCGACUCUUUGUGGCCUUUGGCAGUGAUGGGGACAUAUCCAUGACACUGCGUUGUGCUUGCAUUAAUGCUGUUAUUCGAGCUAACUGUUCGCAAACUUGAUAUUGUUAAUGGAUUAGCAGAACCAUUGAUACCAAUGGAACAAUCAUCUUCCAUUACAUCACUUGACUUUGAAAGUGGAGUAACCGCAGCUUCAAUAUCCCAUAUGAAAACCUCCCCACCAAGACCACCAGAAGCAACCCAAUUGGUCUAAAAAGUAUGACACUAAAAGAGAAUCAGAAUGUGACUUCUAUAAUCAUAAACACCAUACCUUGAGCACAACCUAUGCUGCCAAAUUAAACACAGAACACUAACAAUAUAGCACUCAGAACCUUUCAUCCAUGCAGCUAACAAAUUCAAAGAAAAUAUUGCAUAGAAAUUACAUUUUUUUCAGCUGCAGCUAAACAUGUAACAUAGUCAGAGUGUUGGCGGAGAGUCCUGGUACAAGUUCCAUCAGACAAGCAGUUCCAUGUCUGGGUAUAACCCAAGGACAGAGCAUAUCAGUACUUGAUGCUUAGUCAAAAAAAAAAAAAACAGCCAGAGGUACAGCAUUAAUUAAUAGAAAACCUUCAGUGUGGUGUCUGAAGAGCAGGAAACAAGUGUAUUGCCACCAGCUAUUACAGUAUCGUUUACCUGUAUAACAAGAAAAUUGUUUUAUGCUCAUUCAUAACUUAGGCAGUAACAGAGAUAUGUUAUAUAUGUGUAAGAUGAUUGGAUGGUACUGAAGGAAACAAAAGAUAAAAGAGCACUCAACAUUUAAAUUGACUAUUGAUGUAAGUGAAGUGCAAUUUGAUUAUAAAUCAAGAUAUAGUUCUACUAGAUCAAAAAUUGAACAUAAAUUAAAUCUUUACAACUUCUAACAGAAAGUUAUCAGCUAAAGUAUGUUGGUUAUGCACAAAUCCAAAAGUAAACUGUCAUAGGCAAAAUAGAAGGUACCCAAUCAACAUGUGACUCAAAUGUGGCAGAGCAAGUGGCAGCAUCUUUACCCAGUGCCCAUCUCUUAAGUGUGCCAUCACGGCUUCCAGUGAAGAGAUAGUUACAUCCAUCAGAGGCAGACGACUGUAGGACAGCUAAACAAUUUAAGCCAGCACAAUGCUGCUAGACAACAUACCAAAGUGCAGAAACAUCAGUACCAAGUGACUAUACCCAAUAUAAACCAAUAAAAUGGUUGAAUACAAUCCAGAUAAUGGCUUUUUGCUGAGAAUAUAAACUGAAUUAAUAGCAGAAUAAUUUGAUUUGAUUGUACAAAAGAUCCUAAGUUAAUUAUGGACAUUUAAUUAAUAUAAAUAAUUAAUAACUGAGAACACAGGCAUCAUUUUCAUUUAAUAUAACAUGCUUCCUAAGUGUAAAAAGCAUCCAAUUUUGACACUGGGCAGUACUAACUCAGAGAAGGAAGUUGUCAAGUUUGACCCAGAUAGAUUUUAAAAUUAAAAGUUUAUAGGCAUAGCAAAUAUACAAUAAGCAUUGCUUACUCAAUACACAAGCUUUCUAGAAUUUUAUAUAUUCAUUUAUAGUUAAAGUUACCAGGAAACAAAUUAAAAAUGCAGACUAAGAAUCCUGAUAAAAUCUAAAAAAUGCAGACAGCAUUAUAGUGAAAUAUAAAGAUAAACAAACUAGAAACAUAAUAAAAUCUAAAUAAGCAAGUUCCUUGAGAUUUCCAAAAACACAUCAAGCAAGACUACUUGUCUACUUCAAAAGAAGGGGGGGGGGGAGGAAAAAUAUGAAGGGAUUUUUAAACCAUAAAAAGAAAUAACCUUUCUGUCAUUGGCAUCGCUCAAUACAUAGGUCAGUCGCUUUUCCUUACGCGGGCGGUUAGAAUUGCCAUUGUUCGCUGCACUGCCCACUCGAUGCAUUGCAGUGAACUCUACAUAAUCAGUCAAGUGAAAAUUUAAAACUUUACCACCUUCAAUGUGGCUAAAUACUAGAAUCUUUGAAUACAAUAGAUUAAGUAGAUAACCUAUCUUGUACAACCCUAAACUCAAUUAAACAAGGACAAAAGUACCUCAAAUUUACCAAAAUAGACCACAGUUAUCUACCUUUAACUGGUAAUUAAUAUUUCUUUAAAAUAAAAUAGUAGCAACCCUUCCACAUGAUUCUGCCAGAAAAGAUUCGAUCAUUCAAUGAACACACAAUUAAACUCUAAAUUAAAGCCAAAUUUCGUCUCAAAAUGCCAAUUAAAUAUACUAAAUAUCGUAGCAGCUUAAAAGUUACUACAACCUUAACCAUUUCAACUAAGAACUAACAUUUAGAUUCUCAUCGAAAAUUCAAACAAAAUAGACCUACAUGAUCAAACUAACCAAUUAACGCCAAAAAAUGAUCAAAGAAAUACUACAGAUUCAACAAUCUUCCCUUAAAACUAAAAAUUAAAAAAAAAGUCAACUAAAAUAAAUUCAUAAAGAAACAAACUAAAAAAGAUCGGUGAGAACGUGAGAAAUCAAUGAUCGGAGAGAGAUUAUUAAAAAAUAAAAUGAGAAAAGAAGUGAAGCUUUGAACUUACCGAAGGAAAAAGAAAUCAAACACGUCGAUGAAAAUCAAAUGGUCAACAGAAAGAUAUUAAAUUAAACCCUAAAAGGAAAAGAAUUGAUACGUAAUUCGACAGCGUUUUCUUGAUAUUAAUUUUGAUCUUUUUUCCUUUAUUGCUAAAAAAUGAGGGAAGAAAUCUUUAUAGAAAAACUAAACGGGAAAACUGCAGACUUAAAAAGAAGUCUAAAAGGAGUAGAAGUCUACAAGAGGAGUGGGACUGUGGGCUGUAGGUUUUUUUAUAAAAAGAUCCAAAACUUUUAAUUAUUUAUGAAAAUGACCCAUGCUGAGUAAAUAACCCGUUUUGAACAUAAAACUGCGGUGUUGCUGUUGCCAUUGGCGGCACCAUCUAUCACAAUGACCCAAUAAUUGGCCCAUACAAUUAUGAUUUCUUUGGAUGUCGUCAAGAGCAGCGAUGACACCAAAAGAAAUCAAAUUUUAAUUUCACGAGCCAAUCAUUGAGUGAUUGUGAUACGUGGUGUUGCCAAUGGUAAUAGCGGCACCAAGAUUUACUAUUCAAAACGAGUUAUUUAGGUAUAUGAUUUUCAGGGCGAGUUAUUUUUAUAAAUAAUUAAAAGUUUUAGGUCAUUUUUAUAAAAAACCUAUAAGCUGUAGGGACCAUGAAAAAUCUAAGUAAUUCAAACAAUUUUUUAAAAAAAAGUGAUUAUCCAAUCUAAUUUAUUUAUUUUUAUUUAAUUCAUAGUUACUUCUAAUCUAUAUCUAUUUUUCUAUUUAAAUUUUUUAUUUAAUUGUUAAAUUAACAAAAGCUUAGUAUUUUUAUUAAAAACUCUAUCACAUGUCGGUGAAUCCAUAACUUUUUUAGGGACUGUAAUUUAAUUAUUGUUUUUUGUAGAUUAAAAUAUAAGUUUAUAUGUAUUAAUGUAUAUUAUUUUUGAAGAGAUUAAAUAAAAAAAUCAAUUUUAGGCGACUAAAAGUGCAGUUUUACUAUACAUUGAUUUAUAAUUUCUUUAUUUAUAAGGGGAUUGAAUUGGAAAUUUUUCAUUUGGGGGAAAAAUGCAAUUUCACUAUGUACUAAUUUAUAGUUUCUCCAUUUAUAAGACGACUAAAUUAAAUUUUUUUCUUUUUUGGGAGAGCCAAGGCCUCUACAGACCCCUUUAGAUUCGCCCUUUGAAAACUAAAUAUUUAAAGCACAAAUGUUAAUUUAAAAAUAACAUACAAUAAAUAAUAGAACGUAGUGUUUGAAAUCAAUUAAUAAUAAUAUAUAAAAUAUGUACGAUAUUAAAAUAAAAAAAUAGAUUAAAUCGUGAAUAAAAUAAAAUUUAAACACGUAAAUAUAUCAUAUUAAAAAUACAAAGUAAAUAUAAUUAUUUAUCAUGGUAUUGUCAUCAAUCUUGAGUUAGUAUUAAGUUGACUAAUGAUGCCAACUCAAUGAACAACAUUAUCAAUACGUGUGUGGAAAUUACGUGUUUAGAAUAUAGAAGUGUGUUUAAGAAUAUCAUACAAUAAAUAAUAAAUUAUUUGGUCUGAAACUAAUUAAUAAUAAAAACACAUGAAAUAUCUCUACUAUUAUUUAAGUCUAUAACUAAGUUGGUAUCACGAGUCAAUCAGGCACCAACUCGAUUAAGGAAAUUACAAAAAUAUAUUUUUAUAUUUAAAAUAAAUUAUAUUAUUUGAUGGUGCUUAUAGAAUAAUUUGAACUCAUGCCAAUUAUAUUUCUGACUCCCCAAAAAAAUAUAUAAUUUAAUUUUGACCCCUAAAAUUCUGAUUUCGCCCCUGCUCCCUAAGUCUUAUUUUUGGAUCUGUCACAGAAAAAGAUCCUUUGACCGUUCAAGUUUGUCGCCCCUACUUUUUUUAGUUAAAGUUACCACGUGUCACAACCACGGCGUGAUAUGUGACAAAAAAAUAAUGAAAAUAAAAAUAAAUAAAAGUUAUAAAAAUUAUUAGAUUUUAAUAAAAAAUAUUAAAAAUUAGAAAAAAAUUAGAAAAAAUUGUAAAAUUUUAUAAAAUUCAUAAUUUUUUUUAUAAAACAUAUAGAAUUAUAGAAAAAAAUUAUAAAAUUUUAUAAAGUCGUAAGAAAAUUAUAAAAAAUGUAAAGAAAUAUAAAAUUCGUAAAAAAAAACUAUAAAAAUUAUCGUACCAAUAGAAUCAUUUUAUAACUUUAAUAGUCAACUGUUAAAGAGCCUUUUUCAGUGGCGAAUCUAGAAAUACGGCUAAGGGUAGGCAAGGGCGAAGUGAAAAAAAAAAUUUGGCGGAAUUAAAUUAUAUAUUUUUAUGAUAGUAAAAAAAUUCAAUUUCGUCAUUUUGAUAUUCUAUAUUUUUAUAAUUUUUAGAGGAUUAAAUCAAAAUUUUAUCAUUUUUGGUGGGCUAAAAUAUAAUUUUAGCAUUACUAAUUUAAAAUUUUAAAUAAAUUAUAAAUGAUCUAAAUGAAAAUUUUCCAUUUUAGGGGGUUGGGCCCUUGCCAGCCUCCCUAGAUCCAUCCCUGACUUUUUUUAUGCAUUUUAAUAAUUUAAGUACCGAAUUGAGUGUAAAAAAAAUGCAGGGGCUUAAUUGCUUCUUCUUUUUUUAAUUAUUUAAGUUUGAGAACCUUUUUAAUGCAUUUUGGUAGUUCAAGUAUCUAAUUGAGUAAAAAAAAAAGUCAGGGCUUAAUUUCUUUUUUUGAAAAAGUUCGAAGGUCUUUUUUAUACAAUUUAAAAAUUCAAGUAUCCAAUUGAGUACAAAAAAAGUACAAAUUUAAUUACUUACUUUAAAAAAAUUUGAAGACUUUUUACAUCCUUAAGUUAAAUAAAAACUAAAAAGAUCCAACCCAAGUUAAUCAAAUGCUAUCGAAGAUUACAUAAAUUUCUAUAUAAGUUACGCUUUUAUUUUGCAAUGUUUACUUAACUUAAAUUCAUUGUUUAAAGUAAAUAUAAAUAGAAGAUUAUAAAAAUUAAAUAUUGAAAAUUUUAACAUGAAAACAAAUUAAUUUAACAAACCUAUAGAAAUUAUUAAUAAGAUUAUUUAAAAUAUAAUAAAUUAAUAUUAAUAUUUAAACACUUUUUUAAAUAACAUUCAUAUAAUUAAUUCUAAAUUCAUUAUACGUUUUUAAAUUAUUUUGAAUUAAUUACUUAUUUGAUUUUUUAGAAAAUUCAUCUAAUAUACAUAAUUGAUUCGUGCAUCACAGUUGAAUAGAAACCAAUUAUAUACCACAAGGUUAAUAUUCAAUUCAGUUAUAUACUAUAAUGUUAGUUUUUAAUGCGUUACACAAUAAAAAUUUAUCACGUGGAAAGGAAAAAGAAAAAAAACAUUUGUAGAGGAAAAAUUUGCAACAUAAGCCCCUCUACUUUUUUUAUAUAAUUUUACAUAAACCCCUCUACUUUUUUAUAUAAAUUUAAGUGGUUUUUUGCAAGUUAAAAAUUCUUUUUAUGUUUAUCCUAUUUUUAUAGACACUAUUGAAUUACAUAUUUAGAAAUAUAAAUAAUGUUAAAAUAAAUGUUUAUUUAUUUAUAAUAUUAUUUAUUUAAAUUAAUCUAAUAUCAAUUAUCAUGUUUUAAAAAUUAGACUUAUAUAUUAUUAUGUUUUAGUUUUUUAAACAUAUUAUUAAUGAAAUGUUACAAAAUUCAUGAAAAUUUUUAAGAAAUAAUUAAAUGUAAUUUGAUUUAGAUACAAUUAUCGCAGAGAUGUCCGACAUAUUCUGUAUCUAACAUUUACACUCGAAUUCACACUCGAAUUCAAGUAACAUGUAUAUAUAUAUUCACGAAAUAUAAAUAGAAUACCCUCGUUGAGAACAUUUCUUAUUCACAACUGAAGAACCGAGACAUUUGAUUUCAGGGUGUAGAAUUUACCGGAAUCUGUUGUGACAUAGGCAAGUUUGAUUGGUCUUGAUGGGAAGGGAUAACAAGCCGCUGCAACGAUCUUAAAGCUACAGUUAGCUCUGCGAAUGAAGGUCGCAAACUUGGAUCACUAAAAACAAUGGGGGCAAUAUAUUAGACUGGAUUUUAGUAUUGUAAUAGAAAUAUAGUUGUUAGUUUAAAGUUCAAGUUCCGGGCUACUUACGUUUGCCAGCAUUGCCAGAUUAUCCUUGCAACUAAAGGAUCAAGUUCCUUGGGAAUGUCGAGGCGACGAUUCUGGAAACCAACAGCACCCACAACUUGCAUUGGAUUCAUUCCGCUCCAAGGUAGUCUCAAAGUCGCAAUCUCCCAAAGAAUGACUCCAAAGCUAUAAACAUCACAUCUAUACAUCCAAAAAAACACAAAAGAAUGCAUGUUAGUUUUAAGCUUGCAGAGUUUACUAAUUUCACAGCUUUAAAAUCCAUGAGUUUCUGCGAGAAAAUAGCAGUCACUUUUUAACUUUGAUCACUAAUAUUGAGUCAUAGUAAAAAAACAAUUAACGCAAUUAUAUGUUAUGUUACUUGGACUCAAGUGAGUUUAUGAUACGGUAGGUAACUUGCAUGCAUAUGUUCAAAUUUUCUCUGAAAUUUCUCUUUCAUUUAGAAGACCCUUGGAGGGUCAUAUCUUCAUACUCAUGUCGAACACAAGUGUAGGACUCGUGUAAUUUAGAAAAAAAAUGAAAAUUCGGAACAUUGAUUAUAUGUAACCAAAAGGUGACACUGACAGCUUAGCAUGGUGAAUUUUGAACUGCUAUGGAGAUAUGAAACUUUAAAUUUUAUGAUCUUCACUAUAUUUUCAGAAAUCCAACAGAUAAUUGAGGAACCAGAGGGAAAUGUUCGUGGAUUGAUCAAUCCUAGAAUGAAGGGAUUGAGCAAUCCUAGAACGAAGGAAGGAAGAUCAGGAUUAAACAAUAUCGAUGGAAGAGAAACAACUCACUUCUCAUUGGAGGGCUCAUUGCGAAGUACUUCUGGUGCCAUCCAUUCGGGCUAAAACAUAGAAGGCAACUCUCAGUCAGAGAAAUGAAGAAAGAACAUAAAUAUAACAGAAGUUACUUGUUCUAUCUAUUUAACUUUAUAAUAUAUUGCACAGUAGGCCAAAGAUACCAACCGUUCCUGCAGUUGAUUUGGAUGAUAGGAAGGUAUUAUGCUUCAAGCGUGACAAUCCAAAAUCACAGACCUGAAUUGUUCAGUUUAGCAAUCAGAGGGUGCAGAGCAAGAAUUCCACAGCAGCCAUACUUAAUUUCCUAAUUCUUUUCCUUGAAAAGAAUAAGAAACUUUAAGAAGCACAAAAGGCUUAAACAUACAAACAUCAUUUACCUUAACAGUCCAGUUUUUAUCAACUAAAAGAUUAGGAGACUUCAAAUCGCGGUGAACAAUGGUAGGUAUGCUGGCAUGUAGGCAAUUCAUGCCCCUAGCCUGCAAAAUAAAAACAGAUUUGAAAUUUUACAGGGAUGUGACAUACUAAAUAAAACAAUUGCAGAAGCAAUCAAUUCCAUACCACAUCAAGAGCCAUCUUAAUUCUUUGCUUCUCAUCAAUUCGAGAAUGAGGACGAUGAAGAAUCUUAUAUAAGCUUCCUCUGGAAAACCAAAUAGCAUUUGAAAAUUUUAGAUCUCAAAGUUUAUCGACAUGUCUGUCACAUAAAUGCAUAUGUAUACUGGUAGUUGUAGACUGCCAACCUUGUAUGUACUUUGCAUAUGCAGGCAUAGACUUACCUUGGAAGAAACUCAGUAAUGAUAGACAGGUUUGGAGGGCGAGUAACAGCACCCAUAAAAAGAACGACGUUUGGAUGGCGCAGUCUACGCAUUAUUCGCACCUUAAUUAGAGAGAAACAGAAACCAGGAUCAGUGACUUGGACCUAUUUAACUGCCAUGACCUUAGGCAUGAUGUUUGUCUUAAAAUAAACUAAAAAAACUAAAAUAUCUGAAAACUUAUUUAACUAACUAUCCUUUUAAGAGAGAGACAAAUGCUCAAAAGUUGCUUACUUCUCUUUUGAACUCAGCCAAAGCAUCACCUGAAAAAUCCUGGUCUAGGAACUUCUUCACAGCAACCUCCUUUAGUUCAAUAACCAUUAGUCAUACCAGCCCAAAAUAAUAAACUAAUUGAUCUUUUAAUUUGUAGUGCAUAACAUCAUUUAGAUAAAGUAUAUUUAUGGUUCAGUACUGAGUUCAAAACAAGGAAAAUAGACCUCGUUACUAUGCUUUACGCAAAUAAUUGUUAGACAGCUUGAAACCUGAAUCCUCUAAAAUACUAAUCGGAGACAGCACAGAGUGAAAUACAAGAUGAAAACUGCGUUAGAGUGCAGCAGAGUAUAUACUAACCGUGCCAUUCCAAUCCGCAUGGUAGACCUCUCCAUAAGAACCUAUUCACACGAAAACAAAAUUUAGAAUACCUCCCAAAAAUGGUAAAAGUUCUUGCAAAGCAAGCAUCAGAAUUACUCAAUUUAAACUCUCAAGAUUUUCAUAGGGAAUAACAAUAGCUCUGUUCUUUUUGUUGAAAGCUAAUAACAAUAGCUCUUAAAUAUAAAACAAGGGGAAUAAAUCUUACAUGGCAGACACAAUAUGCAAGUAUGACUGAAUCAACAUUUAGUUUAUAUGCAAAAAUUGACCUAUGCAUAAUGAGAGAAAUUUCCACAUGUAAUGGACCUCAAUAAGCCACAUCCAUUACCUAAUCCAAUUCUUUCACCAAUAUCCAAGUCUUCCCAAGGAAUUUCGCAUUCACCUACAUCCACAUCAUCAAAUAGUUGUUCAACCUUGCCUUUGCCAGAAUCAAGUGAUGAGCUAGGACUUUCCGGAUCCUUCAAUUUAAGGUUAUUCUCCACAUAUCUCUCCUGGGUGUACUUUCUAUGAUUAUAGAAACCAAUCUCAUUAUCUUGCUCUUUAGCUAAAUCCCCUGUUUUAUUCUGUAAAUCAUGUCCAUUCCUGAAAUUCUCUUCCCUAAAAUUAUUGUUUGCGUCCUCAACCAGUUGUGAGCUAUUAAACUGACUGGUAGUGGAUGCCACAGAUGAGCUAGUAACAGACAAAGAAUUCUGGAUUUUAUUCUCUCUAUUCAACAUAUCAAAGCGCCCAGGGGAGUUAAAUCCGUGAGAGUAGACCUUUUCUGGUUUGGUAGAGCUAGUGGAAGCUGAUGAUGACUGAUUAAAAUCAUUAGGUUUGCAACUGAUUUUUGGAAAGAGGCCCUCCAUAUAAUUGUACUCCUUUUUCUGAGGAACCUCAUUAUAUACGGGUCGGUUCUUCCACAUCAAUGGUACUGGGGGUCGCGCCACAGCUACAUUAUUUCUCAGCCUCUGAAACUCGUCAACUUUGGUCUCUGUAGGUUUGUUUUGCUGGUAAGUUUUGCUAGUCCCUUUUCUCUGGAAUGGAUUAAGAUCUGCAAAAGGAUCUUUUGGGUCCUCUUGACUACUCUGACCAUAUGGCACUACAUUAACGUUCAUUCUCAGGCUAUCAACUACAUUGGCACCACGACUCCCUUUAUUGGCAGAAGUUCUAAUGGCAGUCGAAGGAAGAUGGUCCAACUGAUUAGGGGUCACUCUAUUAGAUAAUCCAGAGGAAAUAACACCAGAAUCAGCUCUUGGACCUGAUAAUGAAGGUAACACUUCUGCAGUUCCAGGGGUCACUCUAUAUAAUCCUGAAGAACUAACAGUAGAAUCACCACUUGGACCUGAUAAUGAAGGCAACACUUCUGCAGUUCCAGUACUUGACCCCCAAUUGAUGGGCAGACUACCAUUGACCACAGGGUGCUGACUACUACCCUCAAUGCUAGAUGGCUUUGCUCUUGAAUAACCAUUAUCAGACGACUGAAGAGUUGGGAUAUUGCUAAUAAUUGGAUUGUAUGGCUUAAAAGUAGCAUCGUUCGCACUUAAAAUAUCAGCAGGUAUAAGUGUACCAGGAGCUGCCAUUAGAUCAACCAAAAAUUCCCUGGAGAUUCAAAAACACAAGAUUAGACCUAAAUAGAAGUAAAAGAUUAAGUUAAGAAAGAAGCACAAGCUAUAACCUUUGAUCCUCAAGCUUUAUUAUAUUUACAGCAUCAUCCUCAACACCAGUAUAGUGGCUGCCUUUUACCAGUAUACAAGGUAACCUUAUGCUAUCUGCCAACACCUACAUUAGGACAGAUAGAAAAUAAAUAUAAACUUUGCACAUAGCCCUAUUACAAAAUUAUGAGCAUAGGAGUGGCAACUAAAAGAACAAAGAUAAAUCAAGGCAAUUUUGUUUCCAGAACUUAAUAGCUAAAUAUUAGAACCUGAGGCAAAGGCAUAGCCCUGUUUAUUAUCAUGACCCCUUCAGAGGGUCAGUCCUGCAAAGAAUGAGUUUUAAUCCCAGCCCAUGAAAAAAUUUCAAGGGUUUAUCCUUAGAAAUUGCAUAGAGAAACAGCCAUAAGUCAACAGAAUAGAUAUGAUUAUUUUGAACUCAUUUUUUUUAUACUAGGCAUAACUGGAAUAACCAUAUUAGAACAGGCACUGAAGUAAUUCUCAAAACUUCAAAAAUUAACCUUGAAGAGUAAAGCACGGUGCCGAGACAGGCCUAUAUUUAUGGAGCCAAUGGGGAACACACUUGUAUGAAGAGAUGUUCUAAGCUUUGUGCUUCUUUUCAUCCAUCUAGCCAAUACUAUAUUAGCAUCUUUAACAGGUCCACCCAUAUGUCCCGUUACAAGUUCAGCAAGCCGUUGAACUAACACAUCAAUAUUGGUAGCAGGGCAAUCUAAAGUAAUACAAUGUGCAAUUUGCAACAACUCUUCUAGGGCUGGGUCAAUCGUUCGAUUGACAAUUACAACUUCAAAGCCAGAAUUCCCGAGAUUCUUUUCAAGAUCAACAAGAGAUGGCAUUUUUUCUUGAAGUUUUGAAUCUGGGGAGAGCCCAUAUACAUCAUAAAAACCAUCCACCACUCUUUCCUCAUAAUCAAGCACAUUGUAUUCCUGGUGAAUAAAAGCAAUCCAACCAGUCAAUUCAAAUUGAAUAACUCAAGAAAUAGCAAGACAUGCAAGAACUCUAUGUAAUAGAGAGUUAUUGCAUCACUUCUUCUACACUGAAAGUAGCUAAGUCCUUUUAUUUUUUAUUUAAUUAUAAACCAACGAGAACAUGACAGGAAGAAAAGACUCAUUCAGUCCAAAUUAUCAUAAUAUAAUUCCAAACAGUAAAUUGCUAAAAUUCCCUAGGCAAGUGUCAAUGGAAUACUAGUUAUAGAAGCUGCCAAUGUUUCUGGAUUAAACAAAUUUCAGUGGUCAAAAGAUUGAAAGAAAUAGCAAGACAACCUGUGUAAAGACCAAAACACCAAACAUCAACUAAAGCAAAACAAGCCAGACAAAAAGGUCAUGACUAAGAGCACUAGAAACAUAUUCUCAAAUACACUUCAAAUUUAUUCCCUUCAUCUUAUAAAACGGUUCCUAUUAACAUUAUUAUCCUCAAUCUCCAAGCUAGGUAAUAACUGCUGGAGCUUCAUUCAUAGAGGCCAGAGCUUCAUUCAAAAUUUUCCCACCAGAAUUCACCAUAUAUAAAAAUCUAAAAUUCAAAUUCAAACCAUAGUUUGGCCUAACCAAUCACUAGCAGCAACUAAACAUCCCAAAUUCAAGCAUAUUCACUUUACUAGAUUCAACACAUACAUUUUCAACUCUCAAAAUGGCAAAGCAAACGAAGACAAAUAAAAUCCCUUACUCAAAACCAAAAAUUCCUAAGAAACUAUCAACACCGAAGUGGUAGAUGCCAUUUCCAGCUUCUCCACCUGAAGCUAAGUAAUGUAGCACAUCACUUUUAACUCAACUAACCAAAAAAGAAGCACAUACCCCUCCCCCCCCCCCCCCCCAAAAAAAAAAAAAAAUUGAAGCUAAUUCAAAACAAUUCCCUCUAGUUCAGUAUUGUAACUUGCCCAAACCAAACAGUCCAAAAAUGCAAUCACGAGAGCCAACUAAAACACUCACAACUCAAGCUCAAUCAAUCCAUUCAAUUCACUAAAUUUCCAAUUUAAACUUAGAAAAAUGAUUAAAAACGAAAACGUAAAAAUGCUUACCCAAUACUUCCUGGCCAAAACCUCAGCUGCCACGUCAUCUUUAACCCUCCCGAACCCUAAAUCCAUUCCAUGAUGAUUCCCUAAGCUCAAAAGCGUCGCCGCUCGGAUCUGAUCUUUCUCCGGAUCCUCGGAAUUAGAAGCACUGAUCGCCAAUGCUAACUGUACCUGAAACUCUUCCUCUGACAACAUAUAGUCCGACGCUCGAUUGUUCGGAGCUGAUGGCGUACUCAAACCAAUGCUCGACAGUACCGGCAUCGGCGUCGUGUUCACCGGAGAUGAUGACGUAGUGGUUGUAGAAGUACUCAUCAGAGCAUUUCCGGACAUCGAGUGUUGAUGAUCGGUGGCGCAUGACGGCGAUGGCGACGGAGACGUGUCGGCUGUCGAAGCUCGAUUAUGUUCGUGAUUGCUUCCUAUGUGUAACUUCUUAAAAAUGUGCUUCAUUUUUCCCCCUUUUUUUCUUUUGUUAUUUUUCAGUUUCCUACACUUUCUCGCAUUUUCUCUCAGUUUCUUUUAUUUUUAAUUUAUUUAUUUUUUAUUUUUGGAAAGGGUCAUGUAAUAAAAGGUGUUGUUAAAAGGAGGGAAAACUUAGCAAAUGGUAUAAUAAGCCUUGGCGGGUAAUUAAUAAUAAUAAGGCUUGACUUUCAGAAAUAUCUACGAAACUGCCAUUCGCAAUCAUCACCACACGCGCUUUCGGUUGACGAUGUCCGAAUUAAGCAUCCAAUGCAGCUGGACACGUGGAUAUUAGGUACCAUGUCACUUGUGGGCUCCACUGAUUUUUAAGAUUGUGUUUGACUAAUCAUUUUAUAAUAAUAACAAAAAUUUCCUCUAAAAAAAGAACAAUCUAUAUAACAUAUAUAUCCAUAUAUAUCAAUCUAUAAUAUGUAUAUAUAUAUAUCUAUACAUGUCCUUGUAAAUCACGAAUUUAACUCAUCCUAUUUUAAUUUAGUUAAUUUUAGUAUUUAUAUUUUUUAAAAUUUAAAUUUUUAAUUUUAACCUAAAUAUUAGUUAUUAAGUUCGUUAAAUCAAUUUUAUUAGAUGAUAGUUAUUAAUAAUAUAAUUUUUUAUAUUACAUAAAAAUAAAAAAUUAAUAUGAUAUUACAAAUGUUGUAAUAUAUUUAUAGUAUAAAAUUUUAAAAAUAAUAAAAAUUAAUUUAAAAUUGAUCGUACGAUAAACAUGAAUUAUAAAAUAAAUUAAUUAUACAAAAAGAAUGAAAAUUAAAAUAUAGAAGCUAAAUUUGCAAUUUAUGCAUAAUAUAAAUACUAAUAAAAAUAUUAACAAAAAAUAAUUAAAUACAUAAUCUCUUACUCAAAAACUCAAUUCAAGAUUUAAUUAUUUAUUUUGAAAACAAAACUUAAUUUGAAAUAAAAAUUGUAUUAUUAAACUUGUUCAAUCGGAUGCAUUUAUUAAAUAAAUAGAUAAGGUCGAUUUAUUCUUAACUACGACCUUGAAUAUUUAUACUUAAAUUCAAUUUUUUUAUUCAAAAAAAUUUUCAAUACUAAUUUAAUUUUAUAAAAAAAAGAAUUACCGAAUUAAAAAAAAAAAAAAACUGUGCUCCCUUACUACUCAAAGAAGACAGGAAGGCUUGAACUAAACUUGCUCAAAAACACAAGCUUGAGCUUGAACUAAUCUUAUUUAUUAUUUCAAACAAUCCCACAUUUAUCUGGAAUCAAAUUCAAACAUUGAGCGACUGCACCUCCAUAAACACGAUCAAUAUUUAUUCCAAUGUAAAUAUUUAUUAAUAUGUGUUAAAACUUUGAAAAGAAAUACAGUGAACUGCAACAAACAGGGUUCAACACCAUGUCCAAACACCAAUUUUUUUUUUUUAUAACCCUAGAAGAAAACAAGAACCAUCAAUGGCGAAAGUUGAUAAUGUUGCUUGAUCAAUAGGUUACCUUCUCCAUGUUUCAUCUCAAGGCUCAAACACCAUACUCUCUGCUUCCCGUUUCACGGACUCAAACAGCACGGAAGACAAGUAUCGCUCUCCAAAGCUGGGGAAGACCACCUGGAUUAGAUCAAAUUUAAAAAAGGGGAAAAUAUUAACCAGUGCUUAGUAACAUUGUAAAACUAAAUGCAAAAGUUAUCAUAAAAAUACGAAUCAAUUAGUACUUAACUAGUGCUUAUAAAGACCCAUUAACUAGUUUGGAGUUCGGACCCUUAAAAGAUACAUAGAAUUCCAAAUAAGUAUAUUACAUCAGAAUCCGAGUAACAUAUGCAAGACUCAAGGCGAAAAACACCAUAGAUGACCUAAUAUAAUUUUGUUCAACAAGAAUGCAGGCGUAUAGAAUCUAGAAUCCAUGUGUAUGCCGAUAGUAUUAUCAGUGUAAUUUCACAGAAAUGUCUGAACUCUCAAUAACCCUUUUCAAUGGCGGCAUUUAUCUUCAAACAUAUUACUUCAAUCACAUGUUCAGAAAGAAUGAUGUAGGACUGAAUAAAAAAAACUUACAACAAUGAGUUUCCCGGCAUUUUCUGGCCUCUUGGCUAUCUCAAUCGCGGCGGCGGCGGCAGCACCGGAUGAUAUACCUACCUGUAAUAUAUGUUCCAAACAAUUACAACUAAAGGAAACUGCAGAAAGAAUCCAACAGAAGCUUGAGUGUCAAUUUUCGGUUUAGUUGUGAACAAGCACCAAGGUAUGGAUUUCCAUAUUGAAUUAUAUCAAGAAAACUGAAGAACCUUACCAACAAUCCUUCUUUCAGAGCAAGUUGUUUUGCAGUUUCAAUAGCUACUUCACUUGAUAUCUGCAGCCAUACAGGUAAUCGAUCAUUACAUGGAACAAGAAUAGCAAUACAUGCAUGAAGAAAAAAGCUGCAAUUGAAGAAAGUGUGCUCAUAUGUCGAAUACCACCGAGUUGCCUUCCCUAUAAGCAUCUAUAACAUAUAUUGAUCAUAGGAUAUGAAAUAAUGAAAACCAGCAAUGAAUUAUGAGAUAAAAGCUGUGUGGCUUAAAAAAACAUAGAAAAAUUUGAACAUUACAGUAUUAGGCACAUACUCCUAUUUGACACUUAUGCUCAAUUCUGAGUAAAUAUAGGAUAAUAGCAUAUAGAUCCGAAGUUGAAGAAAACAUUGGUCUUAAUAAAUUAAAUAUCAUCAAGACUUACUUGAACGACUUCAUCGAUUAAAUUGACGUCUAAAACCCCAGGGAUGAAGCCAGCACCAAUUCCUUGGAUCUUAUGUGGACCUUGAACAUUAAAAAAUGCAACCAUCCAUCAAUAGAUAAAACAUUAAUCUUAUUUUAGCAUGAGGAGUACCGGAAAAGAAUUUUCAGAUGAUAAUGGCAAAAAUAUUUAAUAAUCUUCCUAAGAUUUAAGAGACUAAAGCCAUGCUGUUUGCCUGUUGUCAGGGACAAUGUACAAAAGCUUUGUAGGGAAAAUUUUCAAAUUUGAUGUGAAUAAAAUAUUAUGAUUGGAAUUAUAAACCAGAGGUCUGAGUGGUUUGACUUUGACCACCUGUUUGGAUAUAGUUUGUAAAAGAACAACUUACCAGGUUUCCCUCCAGAAAGCACUGCACUCUCAACUGGUUCCACGCCAACGAGCUGAAUCGAAAAAAGCAAGGAGCAAUGGAAACAUAAGAAACACAAAAGCACAAUGACAGACAAACAAAAUUAGUAAUAGUUAGGGAUCAGAAAGUCUAACCUUAAUGCCAGGAUUCUGCUCUUUCAGAUACUUCCCGGCUCCUGUUACAGUACCUCCAGUCCCGAUACCAGAGACAAGGACAUCUACCUUUCCUCCACUGCCUUUCCAUAUCUCCGGUCCGGUUGUCAGAUAAUGGAUCUAAAACAGGAACAAAGAAUCAAAUCACAACACCCUCAACGGCUCGAACUACUAACAUAUGCGUGAAAAGAGUUCUGAAUGAUACCUUUGGGUUGGCAGGGUUUUCAAAUUGCUGAAGAAUGUAAGAAUUAGGAGUCUUUGACAUAAUUUCCUCAGCUUUUUGAACAGCCCCCUUCAUGCCCCGGGCUGGAUCCGUAAGAACUAGCUCAGCUCCAAAAGCUCGGAGGACCAUUCUUCUUUCUAAACUCAUUGAAGAAGGCAUCGUAAUUAUGAGUCUGUAACCCUUAGCAGCUGCCAUGAAUGCCAACCCUAUUCCGGUAUUACCACUAGUUGGCUCGAUCAGCACACUCUUCAUCAUAUAGGAAAAACAGAAACUUUGUCAAGUUAAAACUUCUCUCCUUGAGUUUAUACUUUCAACAUUAAAGCAACAAGAUCGUGACAUGAGCUCAAGGAAAGCUAUACUUUUGCAUAUAAAAAUGAAAGGAGUUUGAAUAUCGAAUUUAAAAGGAACAAAAACUUGAAAGCCAACAAGCUUCUACAUAAAGCUUUCUCUAUGUAAGUUCAAAUGGUUAACUAGAGAUGCUUUACAAGUUGACAACAACACACAAUUUCAGCCUAUGGCAUAGCUAGAAUAGUAUAACUACAAUCCACUUAAAACCCUAAACCUAGCAUAAACUUGAAUUUUAAGAGAGAAAUAUAGCGAGUACCAACCUCGCCUGGUACAAUGAGACCCUUCUCCUCUGCAUCUGCAAUCAUACUAUAUCCAAUCCUGCAUGCAAAGAAGGUUUUCAAAACAAAGAUUAUAGAACUUCAGUCCUACCAUAAGUUAAUGCAGCGUAAUAGAGUUGAUUACAAUAAAAUAUUCUGAUACAACCGGCAAAAGACGUUUAAUAAAUACCUGUCCUUGACACUGGAGCAGGGUUCCAUUGCCUCCAACUUGGCAGCAAUUUUAGCCACACAUCCAUCUACAACAUUGUUGAGAUAUACCAGUGGCGUGUUACCGAUCAACUGUUCAUAUCCAAAACAAACGAUAUUAACAAGGUUGGCAAUACUUUUAUUGAAUUAAAACACAUAAAAAGAUCCUUUAAUAUUGUUAAUGAAGAUGAACAACUGCUUACUUCGGUGACAUCCUUGGCAAUUAAACUCUUUUCCCCCAUUUCUUCUUUAAGUUACUGCACAAACAUUCCAAAGAUUAAAUCAUUUAGCAAAACAAGCCAAACAAAUUGAAUAUGAUUAAGUAGUCAUGAUUGAAACAAAACAAAAAGGAGCGCGAAGACAUUUUGAGCGCUUGAAGAACAAUAACAGUAAUUUAAAAUAACAAUUAGUUUGUCUAAAAAAAAAAAGAUUCAUUACGAAAGAGAAAUUAGUUCCCUAAGAGUUGAGACACUAAAGUGACUAGAAAUGACUCUGAACUUGAUCAAUCCAAAAGCAAAAUCGGAUCCCAUGAAAGUUACAGUAAUGAAGAGGAGGAAAAACCCAGAAUCAAUAAAAUAAAGAAGAACAUAAACAGCCUACGAAAAAAACCCAUAAAUCCAAUCUUAAAAACACAAACAAAACUAUAAUCUGACAGAUAUUUAAAGUACCCAACCUCCAAAAGUUGCAGAAUUCACAAGAAAGAUGGUGUUUUUCAGUACAAUCUGUGAAGCAAAAAUGAUAUAUAAGCCAAAGACCAAAGAGUUCAAAGGCUUAAGUAACCUCGAGAAAGCUGAUAGACAGGAAAGCUACUUUAUAGCUGUUUGUAUAUUAUCAAAAUUUCCUCUCUUUUUUAUUUCCAAUUUUUUUCUUUUGUACUUAAAAGAAAAAGCCAAUUUGGCCAACAAGGCAACUAACGGGGUAAAAUAAAAUAAAGUAAACUACAACAAAAGUCCCUAAAUUAUUAGCAUAUUUACGUUUUGAUCAUUUAGUUUUAAAAAGUUACAAAAUGGUCAUUAAACUAUUUGAAAGUUUUUAUUUAAAUCACUAAACUAUUCGGAAGUUUUCAUUUAAAUUAUAAGUUUUUCUCUUAAGGUCCAGCUAGCGAGCUCCAAGCGACGAUUUGACGAUUGGUACGAUGGAUCCAUCGACGAGUAGAAAAACAUGCCUUAGAUCCAAGUUGAUCUAAUGGUCAAUGUUGGAGAUUGCAGAAAAAAGUUGUUUGGAUUUUGGUUUGCAAUUUCUUGACGUUCAAAGACGUUUCAUGAAAAAAAAAUGAACUAUAAAAGAGAAGGAUAAAAAGAAAUUUAGGUUAGUGCACGCUGUGAGAACAUAAAAGGCCAUAUAACAACGAUUUGAAAAGCUCAAUGACUUAAAUUAAAACUUUUGAAUAGUUCAAUGAUCAUUUUAUCAUUUUUUGAAGUUAAAUGACAAAAACGUAAAUUUAUUAAUAGUUUAAUGACUUGGGUAGAAUUUAUCUACCAUGUAAUUUAAAAAAUAUACAUAAAAAAGACGAAAUCCAUUCAACCUGGUCCCUCUUAAAAAAAUUUUAUUUUCUCAUUUUAAUUUCCGAACAAAAUUAAAAAUGAUAAUAACAAAGACAAAAGGGUAAACUAUCAAAAAGAAAAAAAAUUAAAUUGCUCAAAACUAAAAAAUAUGGGGACCAAUUGUAAAAUUUAAUCUAAAAUUUUUAAUUUUGCCCAAAUUCUUUUUUAUUAUCAUUUUACCCUCCACCUCUCUAGUUUAGUCAAAUUAGUGUUUUUAGACGAAAAAAAUUUGACUCAACUGUUAAAUUUUUAAGGGCACUUACCAUAAUAUCCCUUAUCCAAGUAAACUUAAGCAAUGAGUGUUACAUUUAACACUGAACAUUCACUUGCAAAUUCAAAUACUUUAAAAUUGAAAUUUAACGAAUAAUUUCAAGUCCUUAUUAUGCUUUUAAGAACAUAAUUUGACUAAUAAAAAAAAUCAAUUGCAUGUAAAAUUUGUUUCAGGUCUCACAUAAAAUUUAAAUUUAUUAUAUGUUUUUGAAAUAUCUAUGUGCUUUUUUUAUAUCUUUUUAACGUUUUUAAAUUAGGAUCAAAUUAAGAUCAUUUAUAAAUUUUAAGAGUUAUUUUAAAAAAAAUUAUGAAUAAAUUAAUAUAAUAUGUCAUCCAUGCAAUUAAUGGAAAUGUACCCAAAAAAAACAAUACUGAUUUGGUAGGUGAUUAAUUUAAAAAAUUUCAUAGUUGAUGACAAAAAAAAUAAAUUUAUAAUUAAAUAGAAAUUUAAUAAAAUUCAUAGUUAAAUGACAAAAAUAAAAUAACCCAUAAUUGGGUGAUGUGUGUUGUACUUUACCCUUAGUCAUAUCUCCCUUUGAAAAAGAAAGUUUGUCUUCAGCGUAAACAAGGAAAGGAGAGAGAGAGCUGAUGUCAACUGGCACUUGGUGACAUGGAAAAGUCCAAACGAAUAUAAUCACAGGUUGAGAAAGAAAAAAUGAUUUAUGGGUUUUUUUUCUUUAAAUAAAAUAUAUUUUAUUUUCUGUUUUGUAACUUUGGUUUGGAUUUGUUGAUAUUCGGCCUUUUGUUCUGUCAUGCCCCAUCCGUCCAUAAAUUGAUUUUUGCAAUGACUGGACAUCUCUAUUAAGGCAAUAUGGUAACAUUUUACUGAAUUUAAAUCAGGUUAAAUUGAAUUUUAUAUUUUUAAUAGCAUAUCAUUAGGUAUAUACAAAAGUUUCUAAAAAAUAUACCAAUAAUUUUAAGAAUAUUUGUUAAAAUUUUGGUAUUUAUAAUAAAAAUUUUAAUAUACCAAAAUUGUGUUACAUAAAGAUAUAUUCCUAAUGAAAUAUCAAAAUAUCUAGAAGCUAUUGAGUCAAGUGAACCGCCUUCCAAUUAACAGUUUUAAUACAAACAAUCUGUGUAUACUUUGCAUAUAUUCCUAACAUAUGGUUAUUUUAUUUGAUUAAACAAUUAUUCCAAAAUUAUCUUUAUAGGGGCAAUUCUGUACAAAAUUUAGUAUAAUAAAUUGAAUAAUACUUAAAUUAAAAAAGUAAUAAAUUUAAUUAAUUAGUUUUUUAUUAUUAUUUGUUUUGAUUUAAGUAGGAUGAAUCAAAGUCAUUAAUGUUAUAAAAAAUAUCAAAAGUAAUGUUUAAAAUCCAAUCAUGAAAAUCUCAUUUUACCCCGAAAAUGUUACAUUCCUUGAACCAAAAGUAACCUAAAAGCCUAGUAUUUCAAUGUCUUUUUCUAAUAUUUUAGAAGGAAAAAAAAGAAGCUAAAUGGCAAAAUAAAGGAAGGGAACAUUAAUGGAAAUAACAAAGUAUUACACUCAAUAAAUAUAUCAAAAUCUGCUAAGAUUAAACAUCAGUUGAACACCAAAAUCCAGUUUUUUCUUUUUUAAAAAAACAAACAAAACAGAUUGAAGAACACCUAAACACUUGUGUUGGAAAACAUUGGCUCUAAGUUACAGCAUCAACUUCACCUCUUCUUUUUCAAAUCCUUGUAUCUCACUUCUUCUUUGCUGCUUCACUGGCCUUGGUCUGUUCAACAAAGCAAAAACAUUCAUAUAAUCAGCCUCAACAACCAUCAAUCGUAGAUUGAUAGCAGUUUGAGUAGAGUUAUAUGGUGAAAAUCAUCGAGUGAUAUUUACCUUUUUUACUCCUCGGAUCUUCUUAGCCCGAUUCUUCCUUUCCUUCAUUUGCUUUCUCGAUUUCUCUACCUUGGAAUCGAGUCCGUUCUGAAAAAGUCAUGCAAAAAAUAAUCAGCAUCUAGAAUCAUAUCUAGUCAAUUCAAAGAAACGGUGAAAGAAAUGCAACUCAUGACUAAUGAUGGAAAGACGAGGAAUAUGCAAUGGCAAGCCAGAAGAUUUAGAACCCAUUUUCGAUAUCAAAUAUCAAAUAACUUAAAUUCACGGAAACUUAUAAACUAUGGAUCAAUGCAUUACAUAUUUACAUUCUAUCUCAAGUUUUCUUCAAAACAAGGCAUUUAUAAAGCACAAAAUAGAUGAAAACUCUAGUUCCAUAUCCAACUUGUCAUUUUUUACAAUGAAAGCUGAUUUCAGAUUCUAUAACAUCACCAUUACGAGUUGUUUUCAGUAAACAGAUCGAAUGCAGUGUUUAGAGUAUGAAAAGAGAAUUCCACAAAUAAACUACAUCGAGAAAUAAACAUCAACAUACUAGACAUGAAGCAAAAGCAGUUUAAAAUACAAACAAAUUCCAGAGAAAAAGUACAGAAAAUACAUCAGAAAUUACCCUGAUUAGCCUAUACUUGGGCUCGUACUUCUUUGCGUUCUCAACAGAAUCAUAUAUCAAACCAAAUCCGGUAGAUUUACCACCUCCAAAAUGGGUUCUGAACUUGAACACAAAAAUUGAAUUGGGGUCCUUAACCUCGUACAUUCUAGCAAGCUUCUCCUUUAGUUCAGCCUAAAAACCCAAACCAACAUCUCAAAAACAGGAUAACACAACCAUGAAACCAAUCCAAAUUUUCGAACAUUUAUGAUUGGUGUAGUUCCGAAUCUUCAUUUUAUUUGAAGCUGACAUGUCCGACACAUAUUCGGGUAUAUGAUAAGACUAUAAUAUUAUUAGGAAAUGUCAAAGAUUUACCUUGGAAACAUUGGGCCUCCCAGGAUGCAAAACAUCAAUGAUCUAAACAAAAAAGAAGCAGCAAAUAACAAGCUUUAGCUACCAACAAUGAACUCAAACAGAUACAAGCUAAUAUUUCAUUUCUCAGUUCCCCCACCCCCAAGAAAACAAAUUAAGCAAAGUCCUAAAUUAAGCAUCUUAUUAUCAAAGUAAUAAAAUCAGCAUUAAAUUUUUUCACUUAAGUUCUUAUAUUCCUUUAAUGAGAUCUCUCAAAGAAUGUAAUAGAAAAAAUAAUGGAAGUCAAGUGAAAAACCCCAAGACUAAAAUUUAACAAUGACCCAUGUUUGACUAUCAACAAAGUAGAUGGAAAAUGAGAGUGAGAAAGAAAAAGAAAAGCUUACUCACAAAUUGUUUCCUGGAAAGUAGCCUGUUGGUCAUGAACUUCCUGGUCCUAAUAGUCACUGCCUUGUCCGCCAUGGUUAAGCAAGAAUCUUUCUCUUUUUUUUUUCUUUUUUUUUUCGGAGCAGUUAUACAGUGAAAGCUUUCACCAGCAGCACCAACUCUCAAGGAAAAGGAUUGUAUAUGGCAAAAAAAAAAAAACUAUCUUAUAUGAUUAGGGUUUCAGUUGAUUCUCGAAAAUAGAGAGUUAGGGUUUCAGUGGAGAGGGUUUUAGCCUUGAAUUGGGCUGUAAAUUUGGGGAUUUUGGUUUUCCAGGCCUGCUAUGUAAAGCCCAGUAUUUUUUAAUGCUGGUUAGAGGCAUAAUAAUAAAAUAAUUUAUUUUUUGAAAAUAUAAAAUUACAUAGAUUUGACAAAUAUAUAAAAUUGACUUUACGUGGAUGACCAUCUGUAAAUUUAUCACCAUAACCAUAGAUUUUCAUUAUUAAAAUAAAUAAAUAAUUCAAUUAUUAUUUUAAAAAUCAAUAGUGGAAAAUUCUUUAUAUUCUUAUUUAUUUUUCCCUUUAAUUUUAUAAAAAAAUUAUUUUAACAAUAAUUUAAUUUUUUGUUUUUUAGUCCUUAAACUUAUAUUAUUUAUCAAAUUAUCUCAAAAUAGAUGAAAAAAUUAACAUAUGUUAACUUUAUUGAUGUGGCAUCCAUGUGUAUGCUUUUAAAAAUUAAAAAUAUUAAAUAAAUAUAUUUUUUAAUUUUUAUACUUUUUUGAAUGUUUUAUAUUUUAAAAAAUAAUUAAUUGCUAAUAUGGUAUUACAUGGCAAUUCAUUUUGUAUCAAAAAUUAAAUAAAAGACUAAAAUGAAUUUUUUGUACAGUUGAAAGGUCAAAUAAAUCAUUAUGCCUUAUUAUUAUUAUUAUUAUCCAAACAUGGCAAUAGAGAAACAUUAUUAUGCCAUUAGAGCAGCUAGGAAAAUUCUUAUGAAAUGUCAAACUGAAAUUUUCAUCUUCGAAUAUAUAUCAAUCAACGUACACAAUACCAGAGUUUCUUAUAUUUAUAAUGACAAUAUUUAUUGAUUUAAUUCUUCAGAAAAAAAAAGAGUAACUUUCAACAUUUUCUCAGGAAAAUCCUCUGCAAUUUAUGCCUAGAGUGCUCACUAGGAGGCUCUGGAAGUAGCAUUCAAGAACAGCUCAACAUUGCAGUAGAUUAUAAAAGUAUUGUAGUAACUGCGUUGAGGAUUGUCCAACAAAUUAUUUAUCAAUGAUAGAAGAAUAUGAAUUUUUUACUUACGACCGUUAUGAAUUGAAUUAUAAUCAAAUUGUUUUGAGUCGUUCAUCAAUGUCAGUAAUUGUCGAUUAUAUAAUUCGACCGUACUCUAAAAAUCUGUAUGUAGCUAUGUGAGCCUUCCUGUGUUGGAACAGCUCGGAUAAGUAUUAGAUUAUAUGACUGCACAGAUAAGAAUUAAGAUAAAUGUAAGUGCAGCUAAUCCGAGUAUUGCACCGAAGAACCAGCAAAUCUUCUGGAGAAAACUCAGUGGAGUCGAAGUACUGCCUUGUUUCGUCUGCAACGCAAAAAGAGAUCAACAAAGCGAUUUGGAGCUUAAUUUGUGAACAAAUCUGUUUGAAAUAAGAAACGAAUACCUGCACUUGGCUCGUCAUCGAUACAUCGUUAGCCUGCACGAACAUAGCAACAAACAAGGCCUUUUCAGAAUGCAGAAGCUCAGGGAACAAUGAUUUUAAAUCUCAUGGAAAUACUAUGAACAUACAAUAAGUGGUCGGAAAAGCUCUCGAUCCUCUUCGGACAAGAAUGAUUUUGUUCGAUCUGCAAUCACAAGAUGAUUAACUCAAACAAAGUUGGUGAACGUUUGUUUGAAGGCAUUGAAAAGAGACCUUCCUAAGCAUCAGUUUCCAUGAUACGUGUAUGGUAAUGGCAUGCAAUGUAACGAUAGGAGAGAACUAGUUAAUUCCGGAGAGCAAACCGGUCCAUCCAUUCAUGCAGAUUACGACGUAACGCAGAGAAAUCGAAAUCAUAAUUGGAAAUCAUAUGCAUACUAAGAUGGUGAUGAUAGGAUCUUCUAGAUCACUAUAUUAGCUCAUUUUGUUCUAUUAGAAGUUGCAAAUCCUAUCCUUUACCCACUCCAAGCAUUCGGAAUAUAGAUCCGUUCUACCUUGUAUGUUGUCGGUGAUGAUUUUGUUCAUGUCGUUGUGAUUUCCAUGAAUCGAGUUUCCAGGCCUGCAAAGAAGAAGAAAAUUGCAAAGCUAAAUAAGUUCAAACCCUGCAGUUUCCAUAACAAUCUCUGUAUGCUCUCCCGUUAUCAUCAUAUUGACAUUGCUCCUUCUCGACCGGGAAGGUCAGGGGUUCGGGACAUGGUAACAGCCAGCCUCUCUGCAAAAUGCAGGGGAAAGGCUGCAUAUGACAAACAUCCGACCAUGUGCACCGGGAGACCACCCUAUUUAUCAACUAUAGACUUUCCGAAGUCAAUGGCCCGAAAUGAAAGAACCCCGACAUGAGAACCACAAUACCUGCUCGAAGUUGGUAAUGCAUACAGUCUAAGAGCCAAAGCUUUGAUUCUUAGCUGCAUAUCCGAUAGCAUCUUCCAUCUAUAGUCGAUAUCUUCAUUCGUUCUGCAAAUGUACUGCAGCAACAGGUUACUUAUGUAACAGAAUAAGAACAAAUCUAACACAUAGUUCAUCACUUCAGUUGAGAGUCUGAUACGUAUACAUAAAUACAUACAUUAUAUAUAUACAACAUUCAAGCAAUCCAUUUAUAGAUUUCGAUAAGGGGAGAAACAUUCUUCGAUGCUUAAGUCAAUAUAUUUCGAGUUAGGUUACCAUAAAAACAGAUUAAGAGCAGGAAAUUAAACAAACAAUCUAAGAUGCAACUUAGAGAGAAAUAUCAAACAUACAAAAUGGGUUUUGAAGGAGGGUUUCUAAGAAGUGAUUCAAGUCGAUCAAUUUUGAUCCCAACAUCUAAAAGCUUGGAACGAGCGGCAAUGUCUAUAACGCAAUUUCCAUGGUUUUGAAGUGAUGGGUUCUUGUUGUUUACUCUAUUUUCUAUGUCUUCCACCAACUUCAAUGCUUCUUCAGCUUCCCUUAGCCAUGCAUCCGCCAUUAAAGCUUGGUUGUACAUCUUCAAAAAAGUAAUUGUUGUGAUUCAAAAGGAAAAACAACAGCAAUGUCUGGUCUAAUGACUCAAAAAUAUGAACAACUCAACCAAUGGUAUUGUGUCAGAUCAGAGGAAACUUAUAUGGAAACUUUGUUGAAUUAAUUAUUUUUCCAUUUAAGUUACUUUUUGGGUGUUAAAAUGAUUGGAGUUUCACCUAUUGUGGUUAGCCAGCUAAGAUCAUCUGCAACGGGCAAGGUUUUUUGUCCAUGAAAAUCAUAUGGUCUGCAAUUUUUCUCUUUAUUUUUUUUAUUUUUCACGCGAGGACAAUUAUUACAAGCAGUUCCAUGAAAAGGACAUGAUUUGACAGAUUGUCAAUGUUCGAUCCAAGACAAAGGUUUGUGAAAACUGAAAUGGAAUAAUUUUUUUUAGUAAUUAAAUCCGGACAUCUGUGUAUUUUAGUAAUAUUAGCUUUAACAUGUAAAUAAUUUAUUUAAUUAUUUAUAUUUAUAUUUUUUUUAAUUAUUUGUCAUUUGUAUUAUGCGAUGUAUUAUCCUAUCUAAAUAAAAGUACAGGAAAAAAAAUAUCAAGGAAUUCAAACUGUUUUCUUUUAAUUAUUUGAUACUAUGAUCUAGAUUCCACAAUGGUUGUUUGAUUAUAUCAAAAAAAAAUGAAUGAACCAAAUUUGAUUUGGUAUUGGAACAAAACAAUGGUUUCUUUUCUUCCAAGUAAAGUUUUCUCAACUCUUACUCAAACCCCUAACCUAGCCAAUUCAAGUUUUUCAAACCUCCAAUUCUUUUUCCCCAUCUUCAAGCUCUUCACAGCUUUGUUUUAUGGAAUCUUUACUCCAAACUCGGCUUUUCUUACCGGAUUUCGAGCUCCACACGAUUUUGUUGAUGACUUCUUAAAUGAAACAAAGUUUGCUUGGAAUUUUUAUCAAUGGAGUUUUCAACGGAACUAUUACGAUUUUCCACUUGUCUCAAUUGAUGGAUAAGUAUGGAUAAGUGAUUAAAUAGAAACUUGUUUAGGCUCCUAUAACCUCAAUUUCUCUUCUGCCAUUGUCACAUCGGCUGGCCUCUCCAACUUCAUACCAACAUCCUCUGAAUGCAGUCCUACUCAUGACAUCCUAGAUUAAAAACCGAAUUGCACAACAUGAUACGAUUCUUGAAUCAAAGUUUAAAGAGAACCAAUAUGUACCUCCAUCAACUUGCCAAGAUCGAACUUGGGAGCCUUUCAGGAUCUUGACUUUACGAAUGAAAACAUUUAGUAAGGGAUAAAUACUUUAUGCUACUUCUCAAUCUCUCUACCAAUGACCUCAGGGAUGAACCUUGCGAACAAGUUCUUUCAGAUCAUAUGAAGAGGCCUGGUUAAUCAUAAUUUUUCUCAUUUUCCGACGAAUCUGACAAAAUAACAGUUAGUAUGAAACAUUGAAUAUAAGUCAAAAUAUGUCUUAAGAAAUCGAGUCAGGAACAAAAUUUUUGAACCAGACAAAUCUGGCUGGAUAGAGCAUAAUAGGUUCGCUUAACCUCGUUCGAUAGUCUUAACAUUGACAUAGGAUUCCAUCAAAAUAUGUCUUAAGAAACGCAUUUUAACCGGCACGGCUCAUAUUUUAGCUUCAAAAUACUUGGUUUAAACAUAUUGUCUCUCAAAUUGACAUAUGCAAUGUGCUCUACAAACUAAUUAAUUUAUCAAAACAAAAAGGAUCACAAGGAUUAAAGCUAUAAGCCUGUAACUAUUAAUCCAUGCUAAGAAUCCCCUUAGCAUUGUAGCUUCAAUUCCUAAACAAUAAUUGCUUCAAUCAGAUCGUUUUGAAUACCAUUUAAGAACAUUCGAACUGUGAAAUAAAACAUAGAAAGGAGCAUUAAAAGAAUAAAAAAGAAAAGGGUUUUGCCAAUGUUCCUUUCAUUGAACAAUGAAGGUGCCUAAAAAAAAAAAAAAGAAGAUAGUCGAAAAUAUUCGAAUCCAUAAUAUUUGAUUAAGAAAAGACAAUAUGACCUCUAAAAAAGCUCGAAUCAACACUAUCCAUUACGAUCUUGAUCGAAAACACAGAAAUGACAACAAUGUAACUUAAAAUUUAGCAAAGAUUGAAACAUUUUUAAGAUAUUAAAACAUUCCUGAAAAUUAUCUUUGGACCCCUUAUGGGGCAAUAAUCAAAAAGCUUUGAUUCAAUGUCGUUAGGGUUUAACACUAAAUUUUCAAACUUCUUAAAGCAGAAGUAAGCAAGCCUAGUUUAUCAUCAGCUUUCUGCCUGUAUUCUUUCUCCAAGGCUUUUGCUGCCAAAGACUGCAGCUCUGGACUCUCCUUGUCUUCCUUGUUCCUUCCUUUUGAAACCUGUCCGAUGGCUGAUGUGCACUGAACAAGAGGAUUCAAACUUUGGGUCAGAAAGAUAAAAUACGAGGACAUUGAAAAGAGUGAGUGUGAAACCCUUCUUUUUCCAGUAAGAUUUCAGUUAGUAUAAAGAUGAAGGCCAGUGCAUGAGUUCUCAAAAGAGAAGGAGCUUACCAAGCAAACUCCAAGAAGUGCUCUGGUAUUCUUGCCUCCAGUCAAGUCAAUAGUCGAUGCAUAGUAUUUCUUCGAGGUCUGAAGGUUUUCCAGUCCACCGAGUGUGUAAAGUACCUGUUGAUGAAAAAGCAUAGUGCGUAAUCAAUGAAAACAAGAAUUCAGAGGAGAAUCAGAAGAGUUCGAGCUAGAAAUCUUUUGCUGAACCAAUGCAAGGUGAAAAGCAUUAUCCUGUGAAACUGUAAAGACUCGAAACUCGUGCUUGUGAAUUUCCUUUUGUGGGACAAAACAGUAAGGUUUUCGAGUAAAAACAAACAGUAUCUCCACACAAUGGUAUCAAUGCCAGUUUGGGUGCAGGGCUCCACAGAGGAAGACAGAUCCAACGUCUACCUGGGAGUUUCCUUCUUGGUUGGGAAUCAUUGGUCAUUUGCAUUUUUGCAUAACCACAAUCACUAAGGAAUUGGUUCUUUGUUUUAGGAUCAUCCUAGCAGAAUCAUAAUUACUACCGAACCAUUUCUUUGUUCAUUGAGCUCAUUAAGAGCCGAGAAUAUACUUAAAGAUGAGCGUUUACAAAGGGAAUGCUAUUCUCUAGGAAAAUUGGAAUGUGAGAAACUGCUAAUGAAAUUGCAUACCAGUUUCUAACUAUGAUAGUUUGAGUUUUCAUUUUCCUUGAAGUAUCCUUAUCCAACAUAUACUGGACAUGGGUAAGGAGGUACGUUCCUCUUAAAAAAACUGAGCAUACACAUGCCAGAUACAUACUCAUAUUUCGAUAAUCAACCCCCCCCCCCCAAAAAAAAAUUCCGAGUAAAAGAAGUUUUUAACUACAAUAAAGAAGAAACUUACAUCAGCAUAGGCCAGAUGAUACAAGGGAACUGUUGGUUGAGAUAAAAUAAGCUCCUCAUAGCAGAAAGCGGCUUGUUUGUACCUGAUUUAUCAACCAAAAAAACAAAAAAAAAAAAGAAGCUUAAAUCACUGCUAUUUUAUGAUUGGCAACAUAGUUAAGCUGUAAUAGAUUAAAACUCACAUUUGUAGGGAGACAUAUAUCUCUGCAAGUUCUCUCCAAGCAUCAUGAUCUGCCAUAAAUCUAUCAAAAGAAAAAUGGGGAAAUUGAGUGACAUUUGCUCUGUUGUAUAGUAUCGAAUUAGGAAAAUGUGUGACAGCAGAAAGGGGGAAAGAGAGACAGAGUUUUCUGAGAUAUCUCACAUUUCAAGAUAUUUAUUAAGCGACUCAAUAGCCCCUGAAAUAUUUCCUUGAGCCUUUGCCAUGGCUACUUUCCUCUUAUGUAUUACCUGCCCAAGAUAGGGUUUAUUGUCAUUGGUUUCUUUUUUGUUUUUUAUAAAAGAAAUAACCAAUUAUAUUUCUCUUUUAUCCAUUACAACUGAUUCUUUUUCAAGAAAGGCAGAGAGAAGGAGGGGAAGCGAGGGUCGGAAAGUGGUCACAGAAUUUACUUGAUCAAGUGGAUUGUCCUCUAAAAGACUAGAGUAAACUUUUUCAGCCUCAGCCCACAAUCCCUUUGCUUCAAGCAACAUGCCCUCCAGCCUCCCUGUAGACCAUGACAAAACAAAACCACUAGGUCAUCAAAUGUUCGGGGACAAUGAAUACCUUCGCCAGCAUCCUAUGGAAUCCAAAAUUAUACAAGAACUGUUUAUGUUUAUCCAUCCUUAUUCAAGCCAUAAUAUAGUAACAUAAAAGCCCAAUAAGGUUUGGAGUAGAAUAUUGACUGAGAUGUUUGGAAGAAGCUUAAUUCAAGUGUGUUAAUGAUGAAAAGGUAAGCCAUGAGUUUAUGAUUCACAAAUCACUGAAACUACGGCAUAAAUUAGUGUCAACAUAUAUAUACCCUUUUCGUAACACAAACGGAAAAUGUAGAACAUAUUUAACAGUCAUAUAUACUUACCAACCCUUUUGCUCUCUGGAAAUUUUUUCAGUAGAGCCUUUAUACAAUCCUGCAACAAUAAAUUGUACCAAUUUAAGACAGGUAACUUCACAAAUCUACUACCAAAGCAUCUAUGCUAAACAGCACUGUGAUUCAAGAAACAACGUAAUAUGCAGAUAAGCAUACAAACUGUUUCACUGGAGCCCAAACCAACAACAUUCAAUAAGAGUUACACCAUUUUGCAUAUAAAACAGGCAAAAGUCAUAUCUUCCUAACUAAUGGCUUCAUAAGUGAUGAGAAAACUGUAAGAACAAGCAAGACCUUAAAGAAUUCUUUCCAUCAAAAAAGAAAAUUACUCUUAACAUGUUCGAAAGAGAAAUCAUAUAAACAAUGAGAGUGGUCAAUCCAGAGGCGUGAUCAAUAUUUAAAUAGGAAACAGUAGAAUUAGUUUUACACAUAUAUGCAAGUCCAAAAUGCGAAAAUCAAUUUAACAUAAUAUGAAAACGGAAAAGCUUAAAAGAAAUCUAAAAUUGAAAAACUCAUAGACAAGAUUUGUACCUUUGCAACGUUGAGACAUUGGCAAUCCAUAGCAGCAAUAGCUACCUGCUCAUACAAAGUCCAUUCUGUAUCAAGAUAUAAGUACUUGUUAGUAAUUAUUACUGUUUACCGCUAUAAAUCAACUGAAGUAAAUCGCAAUAUAAAAUGAGAACUCAUAAAUCACAUUCCUAUAGAUAAAAUAACACUGAUUCACUGAUGCUUAUUGCCCUUCGAGGUGUAUAAAACUCAAUACAAAGAGAAGCACUGGAUGAUGUCACGGCACAUGAGAAAAAUGUACAAAACUAAGAUGAGUUCUUGUAUCUAAAUGCAGGUAUAAAAUUAACCAAAAGUCUCAGAGGUAUAAAGCAUUACAAAUUGUGCUUCAUCAAGCUUACCUAACUAUUUUUGUUUACUUCUCAAAACCUCAGCUGGGAAAUGAAUAUAAUGAAAACUCAACCCGACUUUCUUACAAAGCUAAUUCUUAUUUUAAUGCCUACCAAUUCAAAUCAAGCUUAUUUCACUUUCAAUUUUACACACAAAUAUAAAAUAUCUAAUUUAUAUAACUCAAAUUAAAUCAAAAUGUCAAUCUUUUUCUUAAAAAAAUCAUUAAGCUUCAAGUUUUAAAUUCAAGCAAAUCAACAACAGGGGCAACAAUUCAUAAAGCUUUGAAUUCAAGCAAAACCAAUAGAAAGAACUAAAAGACUAAACUCUAAAACCCCAAAAAACCCCAAUCACAAAAACUCAAAAUUCAAGCGAAACACUUUAGAAUCAUUGAAUUCAAGCAAAACCCAAAUCCACAAGUCACCCAAAGAAGCUAAAAGGAAGACUAACCUUCAGGGCCAAGAGCAGAUCUUUUCUUGGGAUCAUUUAAGAUGGAUAAACCAUAUUUCAAGACUUUCUCUGAACGCCUAACUUUGAGCUUUCUCACAAGGCAAAGGUACUCCCAAGCACCUCCUCCUCCAUUAUCUACCUGGUUUUCAAGCCUGUUCAAUUGGGUCUCCUCUGUUUUGCUCACCAUCUCUCAAUGUAAACGUUUUUUUUCCCUUUUUUGGGGGGUAUUUUUUAGAUUUUUCUUUUAUCAAAUUUGCUCUGCCUUUGGUUUUUCUCUAGUCUAUCGCCACUGGCCUGUAGAUUGGAUCUCUAACUAUAGGGUGGGAUUUUAAUUAAGAAAAUAUUUGGUAGAACGCUAUUGGAAUUUUUAAAGAGUUACGGGUGAGUAAAUAUCCCAUAAAAAUAUUUUAAAAAAUAUAUGUCAAAAUUUUAAAAUUAUUUAUAAAAAAAUUAUUAAAAUAGUUACUUUUACUUUCCUUAAUUUACAUUUUAAUAACUUAUAUUAUCGCGGUGUAACAUUUUUAUUAUUGAACUGUUAAUUAUCGUAAAAGUUAUAAUGGUAAGCUACCAUGUCAUGAUAAAUAAUCAUUUCAAACAAAAAAAUUUAGGUUAAUUUAUACAGCUGGCCACUAUGUUUUUUUAUUUUAAGCAAUUUAAAUUUUUUUCUUAUAUGUUUUUUUAACUUUCUUUUUUUUCAUGCUUUUCUCUUUUUCCUCUAAUUUUGUCUCUUCCCUAUUUCUUUUUAACUUAGUUUUUCUUGUUAUUUGUUAAAAAAACUAGUUUAAAAAAAAUAAAGAAGGGAGGAAAAUAGAAGGAAACGUAGAAGAGAAUAAAAAAUUAAAUUAAAUUACUUAAAAUAUAAAAAAUGACAAAUUUUAGAAUUUAAUCUAAAGUUUUAUUUGAAAUGAUAAUUUAACGUGUCACGUUAACUUACUCUCAUACCGUUAUUUGUAAUUAAUGAUUUAGUAAUUUAAACGUAACAUUUUAAAUAUAAAUAAUUAAAAUAUAAGCUAACGCAAAUAAAAGUAAAUACUUACCCUUUAAAUAAUUAACCUUUUUCUUAAGCGCUUGCCUUCUUUGUUUUGUAGUUUUUUUUUUUUUUUGGUAUGAUAGUUAACACAAAUCACUUAUUUAUUUUUGCUCAUUCAAAUCAUUAAUGUAUUGAGUCUUAUUACUAUAAAUAAAUACCAUAGUUACUCACGUAUAUGAUUUCUUUUUUGUCUAAAUCCUUAAAUAAGGUAAAAAAUAAUCUUCUAGGAUUUGCUUCCAACUUUCACAAAUUGUGAAACAAAAGUUAAUCUUUUUAAAAUUAUUAAAAUAAAAUAGUUUAAUUACGCACGAUCUUAAUAUUAUAACAAUUGACGUCAUCUACGACAAAAAGCUAUAUUUUUACGCUUAAACGGUUAAGAUUACUAUAAACAAGAAAACCAAGGCUUUCCCAUUUAUUAACAUUGGAACAAGUCUCUAGUAAAUGGGUUACGAUAACCUGAUAGAGACUUGCCAUCUUUCUUAACUCGCACUCAUCCUCUCCCUUCCAACUCCCUUGUUUUGAUUAUAUUUAGCUUGAGUCAUUCGAAUUUUUAAGUAUUUUAAUGUUUGACUUUAAUAAUUUGUGUGUAUAAUAUUAUUUCUAAAAUAUAUUUAAUACAUAAUUAUUUUUUAAUAAAUAUUAAAAAUUUCAAUUUGAACAGCAUAAAUAAUAUAAGAAAUGAGAUAAAGCAAAGUCAAUAAUUAGAUAUUUAAUUCAAAUCAAAAUCUCACUUUAAAAGUGAAUCCAGUUAUACUUGAAGUUAAUUAGAUAUUUAAUUCAAAUCAAAAUCUCACUUUAAAAGUGGAUUCAGUUAUACUUGAAGUGAACUUCAAAUUUCAAGUCCUCUCCAAUAUCUAUAAAGCUCAAUUCAACUUGAUUAUUCUUAAAUCUUGGGUUAUAAGUACACUCGUUUAAGGAUCGGAUUAAAAAGAUUUUCAAGAAUCAUAUUAUUCGAUUAGUUUAAAGGUUCAUUUGAUAUUUGGUAGAAUUUCUUUUUGUGCCUUCAAUUUAACUUGAUACAGAAUUCACCAAUGUGAAUGUGAAUAUAUUAGUCAAUGAAAAUGAGAGAAAAUAAGAGAUAAAAUAUGUAUAAGAGCAAUAAAAAAAAACAUAAAACUUAUGAAACAAUCAGGAUUAUUUCUAACAAAACAUGAAAAAACAAUUAUAACACUACAAAAUAUGACAACAUUAAUAUAUAUAUAUAUAUAUAUAUAUAUAUAUAAACACAGCAUUAGUACAUAGAUGAUUACUAACUACAAAUCAGUGGGAGAAUUUUGGUUUAUUUGGGUAAUGCAGGCUUCAGCUCUCACUGAACAUUGAUGGAAAUCCAAAGCUUUAGUAACUCAUCAAUACAAACUAUCAGUCUUACAGUGGUUGCAGUUUCCUGGGAAAUCCAUUCACCAAAAACCAUAAAGUUUUUGUUUUUUAAACCUUGGUGUUGUUCUUUGGUGGUGUAUUGAUAUAUUUCCACGUGAAUUGCAUUAAAUUUUCAGGCAAAGUAGCCCCUGCAACUUCAUUGAUUGGGAUUAUUUCUGAAAUUUCUUUCAAAUCUUCUUCUGUCAGCUUUACUUUCAGUGAUUCAAUGUUGCUAUCAAGAUUUUUUUUUUUAUCUUGGUUGUUCCAGUAAGAAGUCAAAAGAAACUUUUAAAAGCUAUGAUCUUUUGGCUCAAGAUUUUUGAGGCCCUUUAUGCUGCUUCUGCUGUGAAUUCUAGUCAAAUAUAUCUGUAGGCUGCUAUAUUAUUUCGACUCUUCAUUUUCUUUAACAGUAUCCGCAUCCAGUACUUCACAUAUUUGGAUAUGGCGUACCUGUGUCCAACUCAUAUCUGGGCAUAAGUAUCCGGAUGUGAUCCUACAAGGAUCCUUGAUCCUUGAUAUACAUGAAACUUUGUCCAAUAGUCAUGCUUCAAUCCGAGUUACAUGAUACAACAAGGGAGUCCAGGUUGAAAAUGAUUGAAUGUGACUUACCAGGAAUAGGGGCAACAUCAUCCCCUUGAUGAAGAACCCAGGCAAGUGCAAAUUUGACGCUGUACAUACAUGCUUUUCAGCCAACUUCUUUACUUUCAAAUAUAAGAUCCUGUUUUUGUCCAAGUUUUCUCCUUGAAACCUUGGGAACAUUGCCUUAAAAAGUAGAUAUUUGUAAUCAGUCAAUGAAUCUAUCUAUUAAGACUUAAAAGGGUUAUUACUGUACAAGAUUAAAUUCAUAUGUACUAUUCAUUUUCCAAGUAUCUCUGUCUGACAUAUGUGUUUAACAUGUAUUUGGAUAUAGAUACAAGUAUGAUCCUUUGUAUAUAUAGAAAAACUUACCAAAAGCUUAGAAUCCUCGUGUCAGAUACACAAUAGUAUCUGACAGUGACUUCUGAGUCCAUGUGACAAGGGUUUAAAAGCCAAAAUAAGGAGAGUUUCAUACCAGAUAACUAUUUCCAGAGAAACCUUGACCAAGGGGACUGUAUGGAACAAUCCCAAUUCCAAGUCCCUUGCAUUGUUGAAUGCAUUUUACGUAGGCAUGAUCUCAUAGGAGUUGGAAAGAGUUAAUUGUUAAAAAGCUUGAGUAUCUUGAGCCUCAAGAAUACUCGAACAACAUUUAACUUGGGAAAUGAAAGACUAUCAAUAAUCGAUUUCAAUCUAUGAUAGCUAGACUUUUCAUUUUCUCUAAAGGAUCCGUAUUCAAUAUGUUUGAUAUAGACAAGAGGGUAGAGUAUGAUCAUUCCGGAAAAAAAAAACCCUAACAUUUUUGAAAAUAUUAACAUUGAACACAUAUAUGUAUUCAACACUAGUUCGAGUCUGGAUAAUGAUUCAAGAUAGAGGAAGAAACCUGCAAAGGGUAGUUCGAGUCUGGAUAAUGAUUCAAGAUAGAAGAAGAAACCUGCAAAGGGGAACUACUUCUUCCUCAAUGAGUCCAGAGGGCCCACUCCAUUUGUACGGCAGUAAUGGGAUGAACAGCGUGUGCCCUCCUUAUAGUUUCAGGGCUAGCUUCAGAUAUACCAAUAUACUUUAUUUUUCCCUCUUCCACGAACUUCUUACAGUUCUUCCAUCUUACAUACAUAAAAUAAAUAUAAAUAUACUUAAUUUUUCCAUAAAAUAAAUAGUAUUUGACAUCUGAGCCUAACAUAUAUUUGGACAUACAGGUAUCCAAUGGUCACCCUUAUGUCCAGGUUCUACCUAAUAUGGGUAUGUCCCCAAGAAGAGAAUGUUUAGAGGUCCAUAUUUAUGCCGAACACAUACAUGUGUUGGACACUCAUCCUUGAGUCCAAAUAACAUGAGUUUUAAAAUGGUUUCCAACUAGGCAUGCACACUCAAGAUGGAUAGUAUGUACCCGAUAAGCAAUGUUUUCGGAACUGGACCGGUGGUAGAACCGGUCAGACUGCCAGUUCCCGGUCCAUCCGAUUCAAAUCAAAUAAAUUAUUUAAAAAAUAAAAAAAAAUUAAAUAUAUAUAAUUGUAAAAUCUGGUUCAACUGCUUCAACCAGUCUGUACUAGUUUGAGGAUCAACCAGCUUUUUUGCCUUGUUGCAGACCAGUGUAUCAGCUGGUUCCCGGUCCAACCAGCCGGUCUGGUCAGGUUCUGAAAACACAGCCGAUAAGGAAAUGUUUGGAUGAUUAACCUUUAUAUCCAUUUUCGAAUAUGCCUCAUACACAAAUAUUUUAAAAAAACUGAAAACCAAUAACAAAGGGUUUCUAAUGCAGCAAUACUUACAGUCUCCUCUGUAGGGGUCUUGGUGUCAACUCUGAUUAUAUAGUAAAGAUCAAUGUAAUCCACGUCAAGGCGUUUAAGGCUACUCUCAAGAGAAGCACAAACGUAUUCAGGAGUGCCACUGACAACAAGACCACCUGGACCAAUGCUUUCAGCGCCAAAUUUUGUAGCCAACUGUACCUUCUCUCACGGUAACUGCUUCAAUGCCUGCAAAAUAUUAAAAUAAAUUAGUUUUGUGUCCAUACAAGUCAGUUGUAUUGAAGAAAGUGAUUCCUUUUUCAAAUGCGUGCUUAAUGAUUAUUAUGCCAACAUCAUCUGAGACCGGAUCGUGAAAGAUCCAGAAUGACCCGUACACCCAAACCCUAACUUUGAAACCUGCAAACAAAAACAAGGGAUUUUACAACAAAAAAUGCAUUUUCUUAGCUAAUAUAAUUAAUAAUAACGAAACCUAAAACCUCAAGUCCUUGAGUUCCAAGUUUCACUCGAGGAAUCUGAACUCUCUGCUGUUCAUCAACCAUCGUUUGUUUCCUUUUUCUUCUCAAUGGAGGCCUUUCUGAUUAUAUAGCAACUCAAAAAAUAUCGUAAAAAAGAAGGAACUAUAAAAUAAUUCUGAAUAUGUCACCCCAUAGGUAAUUGAUUUUGACUACUUUGUUGCAGACAUUCAAAAUUAAGCUAAUGGAAGAACUAUUAAAUAAGAUAUUGAAAAAAGAGGCAAAAAAUUGGUCAAAAGAGCUAAAUAAUCACGACAUGUGUUAUCAGAUAAACAUUCAAAGAAUUAUUAAAUCAUUUCUUUUUUAAUUUACACCCUAUCUCAUAGGACCAAAACCAGUUUCUACAGCACACGUUAAUAUCUUGAGUUUAUAGCACUGUAGGGCCACAGAGCCUAUGAACCAAAGCAGGAUUCACAAGGAACAGAGUGAAGCAUUUGUUGCCUAUGAUGAGUAAGUGGUCACAUUGCCUACGCAAUAGUAGAUAAAAUGAACCUACUACAGCCCCAAAACACAGUACUAAUGGAAAUGGAAAAGCAGGUCUACCAACAAAUCUUAGGCAUGAUGCUAACAGAUUCAUUUUGAAAAUGCCCUGUUAUGUUAUAUGCUAUUGGGUUCAUAUGGCUACUUUUAAGUUCAAUGUUUCAUCGCUUCUAUUUCAGUUAUACAAUGUUUGACGACUAAUGAAAACAGAAAGACAAGCACUACCAAAUAAUCUUAGGCAUGAUGCUAAUGGACUCACUCUGAAAAUGUUAUGUUAUAUGCUAUUUGGUUCAUAUGGCUGCCUUCUGAGUUCAACGUUUCAUUACUUCUGUUUCAGUUCUAGAAUCUCAAUGACUAAUGGAAAAGCUGGCCAAACAAAGAAAUCUCAAGCAUGAUGCUAACAGAUUCACUUUAAAAUGUAUUGUUAUAUGCUAUACGGUUCAUGUAGCUGCUUUCAAGUUCACUCUUUCAUUUCUUCUAUUUCAGUUCUACAAUGCUCAAUGGCUAAUGGAAAGGCAGGCACUACCAAUAAAUCUCAGGCUUGAUGCUAACAGAUUCACUUUGAAAAUGUCUUGUUAUAAUGCUAAUGGCUUCAUAUGGAUGCUUUCAAGUUCAAUGCUUCAUUGCUUCUAUUUCAGCUCUACAAUGUUCGAUGACUAAUGGAAACCAAAAAGGCAGGCACUACAAAAUAAUCUUAGGCACGAUGUUAAGGAUUUAAUCUGAACAUGUCGUUUAUAAGCUAAUUGGUUCACAUGGCUGGUUUCAAGUUCAAUGUUUCUUUCCUUCUAUUCCAGCUCUACAAUGUUCAAUGACUAAUGGAAAGGCAGACAAUACCAAGAAAGCUAAGGCAUGAUGCUCAAGCGAAAAUGUCUUGCUAUAUGCUGAUGAGUUAAGAUGGCUGCUUUCAAGUUCAAUGCUUCAUUCCUUACACUUCGAUGCUCGAUGACAAAGGAAACAGGAAACACAAGUAUAACCAGCAAAUCUUUCAUGAUUAGGUGUGCUCGGGUGCAGCCAGAAGGAGCAAAACCCCUUAACAGCUGCACCAGGCAAGGCUAUUUCAAAGAUGCGAAAAUUCCAAAAAACAAAGCAGGCCAUUACAAAAACCAUGCAAGCAUUGGACGGUUCAGGACAUUUCCAAAUCCCAAUUAUUCCACAAUUUACAAUUAGUCUAAUACAAGAUCAAAAUCAAUAUUUUAGCAACAAAUUAUCCCACAAAUGAUCUAAAGAACAACUUAAAUAAACCCAUAAAUCAAUCCAACCAAACUUCAAAAAUAACCAAAAGAACAGGGAAACUAGAUAGACCAUUGCAAGUAUAGAAGCACAACAUAAUCAUUGACCAAUUCGUCAAUUUUAUUUCCAAAAUCCUCAAUUAUUCCACAAUGUUCAGUUACUCUACAGUACACAGCAGCAAAAUCCGAAACAUUUGCAUUAAUCCCCGCCCCCAAAACCCAGAAUCAAAAUCCCCUCAAAUAUGAAAUAACAACAAUGCAACUUCCACCUCACCUUUGCCUUCUUCAAUCACUUAGUCAUAACUUCCACACCUGUCUUCCCAGCAAUAAUAACAGAGGUAGCCAUCCCUAAAAACAACCCAUGUUCCACUACACCUUCCAUGGCAGAAAUCUCUUUCCCAGCUGCAAACCCAUCUUUUAUUGGAUUCUUGAAAUACAAAUCCACCAUGUAGUUCAUAUUAUCAGUCACGUAAGGCUUUUCACUACCAUCCCCUGCUAAUCUCAACUUUGCUUCACAACCCAACUCUUUGAACAAUCCUUCAAGUCUAACCAAGUUAUAUUUCCAACAAAACUGCACAACUUCAACAGGCAUGGCUAAACCACUCCCUCCAAGCCCUGAAACAAGCUUGCUAUCAUCAGCCACUACAAUGAAAGAAGAUGAAGCUGCUUCAACCAUUUUCUCUCGCAAAAGUGCACCCCCACGGCCUUUAACUAAGUCGAGGUUAGGGUCAACUUCAUCAGCACCAUCAAUGGCGAGAUCAAUAUGGGGAUGCAAGUCAAGGGUGGAUAAAGGGAUAUUAAGUGAUGCAGCUUGCUCUUGGGUUCUUUUUGAGGUUGGGAUUCCGACGAUGUUAGAAAGUUGACCGGUGGAAAGGAGUUGACCCAGUUUGUCAACCACAAAGGCAGCUGUUGAGCCUGUUCCUAGGCCUAGGACCAUACCUGACUUGACUGACUCAACCGCUUUGUCAGCUGCAAGCUUUUUGAGCUCAUCUUGGGAAAGGACUGGGGCAGAUUGGGACCUGAUGGAGAAUGAUUUCUGGGUUCGAGCCCGGUGGUUAAGAGGAGUGGCGCGUGGGGUAAAACGGGUGGCGGAGGAGAGGUGGAGGAAGGAUAAGGAGGCCAUUGGCUUUUGUUUCGGGGGCUUGUUUUGGCCUUUUCUUCAUUCUGAUUUUAUCUAUGCUGUUCGUGCUGUUUGUGUUAGGUGAACUUUGGGCUAAAGGUAGAAGGUUAGGAAAAGGACUAUUAAAAAAAGAAAAAAGAAAAAAAGAUAGAUAUCAAAAUUAUACCUCAAAUUUGAUUUUAUGUACAAUUUAAUAUAUAAAAUUUUAUUUUGUGCAAUUAUACCCAUAAAACUUUAAAUUUGGUUCAAAUAUUUACAUAAAAUUUUGAUUUUGAUUUAUUUGUGGACAUUUAAAGAAGUAAAUACUUUUAUGUUGCUUAACUGUAAUUAUUUGUGUAUGCAACAUGUAAACUUAAAAGGGUAUUAUAUCAAUAAUGGUACUAUUAGUUUAUAAAAAUUGAAUUUAAUCAAAAUGUCAAAUAUAAAUUUAAUAAAAUUUAAAUUUAUGUAUGACAUUGUAAAUUAAACUAAAAUUGAUUUAUAAUUUUAAGAUUUAUCUUUUUUAAAUAAAAAGAUUUUAAAGGUGUCAUUGUAAAUUAUUGGGAUUUGAUUUUUUUAAAGAAAUAACAAAUUUAUUAAGUAAUUGUAAAGUUGGAGCAAUUUAAGCUUUCAUGUAGGUCGAAUUUAAAUAUUUUAAAACUUGGUUUCGAGUAAUUAAAAAUUUUACUUCUCUUUGUUAUUUUUAAUAAAUAUCGAAAAUUUAAUUCGAAUUUAACCUCAAUCUUAAGUAUAAAUCAUUCAAAUUAAAGCUAAAAACAGAAGUCAAAUUUAUUUUUUAUUACCUGAUUAAAUAUUUGUGCCUUCAGUUUAACUUAAUACAGAAUUCACCCAUAUAAAUGGGAUUAUAUUAUUAUGAGAGAACAGUAUAACAAUAGAAAGGUAUACUUAUCAAACAACAGGUAAAACCUUAUUCGUCCAAGUAAAGCUAAGUAGAAACUUGGACUUGAUUAUUUCGAACACGAUACAAAACAUGACACAAUAACAUUAGAAUAAAGACAUAAACCACAGUAAUACAUGAAUUGGGAGAUUACUAGCUACAAACCACAGGCAAGAGUUUGUUUUAUUUGGGAAAUACAGGCUUCACCUCUCACUGAACCCUCCAUUAAUGGCAAUCCAAAGCUUUUGUACUGCAUCGAUACGAGCUUCCACUCUUUCAGUGGUUGCAGUUUCCUCUGUUCACCAGCACGCAUAAAACUCUGUUUUUAAACCUAGGUGCUCUUCUUUGGUGGUGUAUUGCCGUAUUUCCAAGUGAAUUGCUUUAAAGAAUCAGGAUAAUUACUCCCUGCAACCUCAUGGAUUGGGAUCGCAUCUAUAAUUUCUUUCAAAUCUUCUUUUGUCAACUUUACUUUCACUGAUUCAAUGUUGCUAUCUAGAUUUUCUAUCUUGGUUGUUCCUGUAAGAAGUGAAAACAAAGUGUCAAAAACUUUGGUCUUAAAUCUUAAUGGAAACUAUAUAAAAAUUGGCAUUUUGGUACAGGAAUUUUCAGGCCAUUCUUAUGAUACUCGAACUUGUAUCGGAGUGUCCAACACAGAUAUGUUCAUUUUCCUAUAGUUUUUACAUAUAUUUGGAGAAUUUUUAGAAGGUCGUAUGCCCCAUAUCAUGUCCGAAAAUAUGCUGGACAUAGGUAUUGGACACAGGCACUUAUAGAAAAAAUGGAGAGUACAAACAACAUAGACUUAUGCUAUUUCUGCAGGUUACUAUAUUACUCCGACUCUUUUCUUUUCUUUUUCAAGUAUCUGAGUCCAAUAUUCCGCAUAUUUUGACAUGAGUGUUUAAUUUAACCCUCCAAAUAUAUCAAAAAAACUUUAAAAAGACACUCAUAGUGGAUCACCUCAGAAUCCAAGUUGAAAGUGAUUGAAUGUGACCUACCAGGAAUAGGGGCAACAUCAUCCCCUUGAUGAAGAACCCAGGCAAGUGCAAGUUGUGCAGCUGUACAUCCAUGCUUUUCAGCCAACUUCUCUACUUUCGAAUAUAGGAUCCUAUUUUUCUCCAAGUUUUCUCCACUAAACCUUGGGAACAUUCUCUUCAAAAGUAAAUGUUUGUAAUCAGUCAAUCUGUUUUUCACAACUUAGAAGCAUGUUACUGUAAAUAUUAAGGUCCUAUGUUAUCUGAACUCUUCAUUUUCUUUAAAUAUUCAUAUCCAACAUGUUUCUGACAUCUAUUCGGAUAUAAAUGCAAGGGUAACAUCCUUCUAAUAAAUGAAAACGAAACCUAGAUAAAAAUUAAAUAUACUCAUGUCGAACACAUAUCCAUUAUCCAACACUUACUCUUGAGUCCGUAUAACAUAGGUUAAGUACAGAUUAAAGCCAAAUAAUGUGAGUCUCCAUACCAGAGGCGUAUUAGAGGUAUCUUUAUUCGCUCUACCGGCAAAGAAACCACGACCAAGUGGACUAUAUGGAACAAUCCCGAUUCCAAGUUCCCUGCAUUGUUGAACACAUUGAAGUAGGUAUAAUCUCACAGCAGUUGAAAGAGUUAAAACUGUUGAUGGCAUGAGUUUAUUGAGUCUCAAGAGUACUCAAAAAAACAUUUUAACUUCCCAAAUGAAGAAGACUAUCAAUAAUCAAAUUUCAAUCUAUAUGAACAAAAGGGUAUUUUUAUAACCCCCCAAAUAUAUAAAAUUUUGAAUAUAUCUAUACUUGAUACUCAUUCAAAUCCAAAUAACAUUUAAGUGACUUAAGAAAAAAAGUUAUGAUGAUUCAAGAUAGAAGAAUAAACCUGCAAAGGGGAAUUAUUUCUUCCUCAACAUCACGAGUCCAGAGCGACCACUCAAGUUGUACUGCAGUAAGAGGAUGAACAGCGUGUGCCCUCCUUAUAGUUUCGGGGCUAGCUUCAGAUAUACCAAUGUACUUUAUUUUUCCCUCUUCCACCAACUUCUUCAGUUCUUCCAUCUAUCAUACAUGAAAUAAAUAUAAAUUAUGCUUAAUUUUCCCAUAAACAAAAUACAGGGUUUUUAAUGCAGCAAUGCUUACGGUAUCUUCUAUAGGAGUCUUGUGGUCAACUCUGAUUAUAUAGUAAAGAUCAAUAUAAUCCACAUCAAGGCGUUGAAGGCUAGCCUCAAGUGAAGAACGAACAAAUUCAGGAGUGCCAUUGAUAACCGGACCACCUGGACCCAUGCUUUCAACACCGAAUUUUGUAGCCAACUGUACCUUCUCUCGUGGCAAAUGCUUCAAUGCCUGCAAAAAAGGUUUCCCAGAUUCCUUCAAAUCAUAUCGAUUUCAUAAACUAAAAAAAGCCAUCUCUCGCGCAUAUCUUCGAACAUGUAAUUGACACAAAAGUGUGGGACAUUGUGAGAGUGAAAGGAUCCCUCACAGUUCAAUGUAAUUCAACUUGAAGAGUUGAUCAAACAAAGGAUGUUACCUUUCCAACCAGAAUUUCGUUAGUUUUGGGUCCAUACAUGUCGGCUGUAUCGAAAUGAGUGAUUCCUCUUUCGAAUGCGUGCUUAAUGAUGGCUAUGCCAGCUUCAUCUGACACUGAAUUAUUGUGACCUGAAAGACCCAUACACCCAAAUCCCAGCUUUGAAACCUGUAAGCAAAAAACAAUGGAUUUUAGUUUUACCCCCGAAGAAAAAGCAUUUUCUUAACUAAUAAUAUAACUAGAAAGAAACACAAUCUCAAACCUCAAAUCCUUGAGUUCCAAGUUUCACUCUAGGAAUCUGAAUUGCCAUUUUUUGUUCCCUUUUUUUUUUUCUUCUUCUUCUUCUUCUUGGUGUUCUACAAACAAAGGCUUCUCUGAUUACCGAACAGCUCAAAACAUACCGUUAAAUAGAAGAUCUUGAGGCCUUUACCCAGAACCUUGUUCUUAGCUUUGUCAACAUUUGCUUACAUCAUUAUGGUGUCAGCCCGUAUGUAAUCGUUUUAGUCUACUAGAGAAAAAAACUAAUAAAUAAUCAUCAUCACAAAGAGGCAAAGCAUUUUUUCUUUAUCCAAAAAAAAAGGCAAAGAAUUGGUCAAAAGAUAUAUACAAUAAGUAAAUCAUGUCAUGUGUGUUAAUCAAUAAUCAGAUAAACAUCCUGAGAAAGGGGCCGUAAUACCUCCUUUCAUUCAUUUUUUUUCAAAGGUUCUUGUCUUUUUCUAGAAAGUCAAUGUUUUUACUGAAACAUUCAUAUUGCUGGUAAAAUUCUGCUAUUAGUAUAUCUAUUUUGCAAAUGUUGUUUAAUUUAAUCAAUUUUAAUUUUUAUAUUUUCCAGAUUGAUCAAUUUUAGUUUUUAUAUUUUUUGAGUUUUGAAAUUUUAGUCAUGACUCAGUUAAAUUUAUUUGGUUAAAUUUAAUUAUUAGACGUAGAAAUAUCAAGUUGACAUGACAUCACAUAUAUGACAAUAUGUUUAUAGUAUCAAAUUUUAGAAAUAGUAAAAUCUAACUUAAUGAAUUUAACGGUUAUAGUUUGGUGAGGACAAAAACAUUAAAAUUUAAAAGGUACAAGGUCUAAAAAUACCAAAUUAAAAUAGAAUUAAACCCAUAACUUUGUAAAAUAUAGGGACUAAUAGCUGAAUUUAACCUAUAUUGCUAUAACUUCAUUUUAUUUUAUAAAGCAACCAUUUUUCCUUUUUUGUCAACUUUUUUCACAUGUUUAUAUCGGUAUAUUAAAAAAAAAAGUUCAAAUAUCUAGAGAAUUUUAGAAUAUCAAUUUUUUGAAUAUAUAUAAAAUACAAAUGUUUCAAAAAUUAAUAAAUACUCAAAGCUGUGAAUAAAGAACAUAAGACGAAAUAAGUUGUUCGGAUUUUUUAAAUUAAAUGUAAAAUUAUUGCUUAAAUUAUAUUUUUAUUUUUAUUUUUUACUUUUAACUAUUUAAAAUGUUUUUUUGUCAAAGUUGAUAUUUAAAUUAUUAAUAUUGUCUUAUUUAUUUUUAAAUAUGAUAUUAGUCAAUAAAAACAAAACAUGUGAUACAUUUUUAUUAUAUGUCUCAUACUUUUUGCGAUAAAAUGAAACUAAAUUCAUAAUUUUUAUAUAUUUUUUUUAUAAAAAUCAAUAAAUAUUUAAGUGAGAAAUGGAUAUAAUUUAAAGUCAAAUUUUAUAGUUAAUUUUUCUUGCUUUUUUUUGAAGUAUUAAUUUAAUCUAAGGAUUUUUAAGUCUUCGUUAACUAUAUUUUUGUGCUAGGUAAGUUGGGAGAAACUACUAAGAACAAAUUUAUUGGGUUGAUUAGGGCAUUAAGUAUAUUUUUAUCUUAGUCGCAAAUUAAUUUAUAACGACACUAUUAAAAUUGAUCAUAAUCCAUUUAGUCUAAAUUUAAAUUUUGUUGGCUAGACAAGUAAAUCAUAUAAGCACAUAACUGAAUAAAUAAUUAAAAAAAUUGAAACAAUCAACGAGAAAAUAUGAUCCAUCAUUGUUUCAAGACAAUAAAGUUUAUUUCGUGUUGAAUUGAGCAAAUCACACAAAAAAAAAAUUAAAACAAAUUUGUAUAAAUACAACGUAAUAAAAAAUAAUAUAGAGAGAAAAAUAGUUAUAGAAUUUAUGCCAGAGUACUCCGAAUCUCUUUUUCUUUUAUCUUUGCAAUCUUGAAGUUUCUCUUGGUGUAGAGAGAGUUAUUUCUUAGCCUCUAAGUGAUUUCUUUUUAUUUUCCUUCUUUUUUUCCCUUAAAUCUCAUCACCACCGACCGCUUGCUAUCAAAUUAGUUGACAAACUUUUAAACAAAAUUAGUUGAGUCAGGACUUGAACAAUUUUGUAGACAUGUGUUGACUCAUAUUUAAAUAUCUAUACUGUAGAGUCUUUGAAGAUUAAAUCAUUCUAAGUAAACCCUCCAAUUAAAUGCAUCUUCUGGGUUUGUAUGUAAGGUUGAAGGUGGCUUCGAUGAAGGGAUCACGUCAGUUCUACGAUUCCGGUCCCGAGGCGUCAAUCCAAGCCUCCAAUCCAAAUUUAUCAAAACAAAAACCGAAUAAAAUGAGUUCUUAAAGAAAAUAAAGGGUUUAAAGUUUUUUUGGUCGAAAGAAAAGAUUUCCUUCCAAUUUUUUUCGGCCACUGUCAAGGUUACUCGGCCGUCAGAACUCGAAAAUUUUGGGAUCUCCGGCAGUGGAGCCGGCCGAUAGCAAUCAACAGGGGCAGCCGCAUCUUUAGAGAAAAAAUAAGGUGUUUUGGUUUUCGGCAGAAAUAAUGAUUAGUAUAUAUAUUGAGCCUUUUGGUUGGUAUAUUUGUUAAUAAGUCCUUCCGUUCUGUUUUUUAUUUUUAGGAUUUCCGCAUUUUAAAACGACAAUUUUGGUCCUUGUGAUUUUUGCUUCGUUUUUCAAUAUUGCAAUUUUCGGCUGGAAAAAUUACCGGAUUAGUCCACUGACUUUAUAUAUAUUAAAAAAUAUUUUAUGAAUUAUGAUUAUUUUUGGUAUAUGUUAUGUUUCUUCGUUUUACUUGAAUUUUGAGAUUUCUUUUAGGUUAUGUUAGAUUAUAUUUAGAAUUCUUUGACCUAGAUCUUGAGAUUCAAAUAAUAUACCUUUUAAAAAAAAUAAAUCUUAGGAUUUAAAUAGGUUAAAGUUUUAUUUUUCUAAUUUAGAUGUUCAAAGAGGUUAGAAGUUUGUUUUUCUAAUUUAAAUCUUAGGAUUAAUUUAGAUCUUAGGAUUUAAAUAGGUUAGAAUCUAAUUUAGAUAUUAGCAGGGGUGAAGUCAAAAAAAAUUUUUAGGAGGUCAAAAUUAAAUUGUAAUUUUUACGAUAGUAAAAAUGUAAUUUCACCAUUUUAAUAGUCUAUAUAUUUAUAAUUGUUAAAUGAUUAAAUCAAAUUUUUAUUAUUUUAGGAAGUCAAAGUGUAAUUUUACCUUUUCUAAUUUAAAAUACUAAAAAUUAUAAAUGACCUAAAUAGAAAAUUUUUCAUUUUUCGAGCCUGGGGCUCUCCCAGCCCCUAGAUGUUAGGAUUCAAUUUAUAUUUCUAAUUUAAAUCUUAACAUUCAAAUAGGUUAGAUUUCUCUUUCUUUACUUAGAUCCUAUGCUAUAGAGGUUAGAAUUUUAAUUUUCUGUCAAUUCUUAUAGGUUAGAAUUUAAACUUCCAUCAAUUAGAUUUUAAAGUUUUAUUAUAUUAGAAUUAAAAUUGAUUAGCUCGGAUAUUCUGAUUUUUUUAAUAAUAUUAAAUUUUGAGCAGUUUAAAUUUCGAUUUAGGAUUAUAGGAGUCAAUUUUGAAAUUUUUGAACUAGAAAUCUUUAGCACCAAAUUUUAUAGGAUUAUCUUUAGAUAGGCGUUGUAAGAAUGCUAUAAUCUUUCUUACAUUUAAUUAUACUCUCGAACUUCAAUUUUGGUGCGAGUCUGAAUCUAAUUUUUUAAGAUUUUUCCUCAAGAAUAGUUCUAAAGUCGUAGGCAAUAGGCAAUUAACUGACCUAAUUUAAAUUGGUUAAUGACGAUCCUAUUGCACGUUGGGCCAAAAUUCAUGUAUAAUUUAUAAAUACACUACUUAUCCUUAAAUUUUAUUUAAAAUGAUUUUUUGUUUGAUUUAUAUUAUGUUAUCUAUUUAAAUUUUUGCAGAUUUGAAUAUUUGACGAGUAAUAAUACUUAAUUCAAAUAUGAAUAGUUAUACUCAGAUAAUUUAUAAAUUUAAAUUUUUAAGUAAAUUUACGGAUUUAAAUAAUAGACAGAAGUUUAAGCCAAUAAAGGUUAGUGAGAGUAUACCACAUGUAAGUCCUUAAACUACACAAGAGGUGCUCAACCAUAUAUUAUAUAUUUGCAUCAUUUCGACAACUUCCCAAACCAACUAAACUCUCUAAUAAACUUAUCUUAAAAAACUCAAACCCCAAAUUUGAAUUCGUCAUUGUUCUCUUUUUGAAAUUUAGGGUCUCAACUUUCUAAUUGUUUUUAUAUUGUUUUUAUAUUGCGAUUUGAACUAUUUUCCUAAUCAAAUUAAUCUUUAAAUUAGUAAUUACACUUACAUUUAAGUCUGAAUUUUUUUUCUAAGUUAAUAUUUGAAUUUAAUUGUUCUUAAAUUAAGAUAUGAUUUUUUUAAAACAAAUAUGAAGGACUAACUUUGAUAGAAAAAAUUUAAAUUUCAAGAAUAAUUUUCAAAUUCAAGGAUUUACUUAGAAAAAGAAUUUAUUUGCUUGUAUUAUAAAACUUUCACUUUAUGAGAGAAGAUAAGGUUACAAAACCAAAUUAAAUAUUAACAAUUGAGCUUUGAAAGAAAUAAUCUGUGAGUAAAAUAGUUUUUAAUUGAUUGAGGAUAGAGUGAUGUAAUUCAGUUGAGUCUUUUCAAAGUUAAAAUUGGAAGUAAAUGAUUGAGUAGAAUUUAUAAAUGUACUUUUUUUGAAGUUCUUGAGAAAAGUUAAAUGAUAUUUUCAUUAAAAAUUAAAAGUAAAUAUUUUAACUAAUGCAUGACAAUGACUUUAUUGUGCUAUAAGUAAGUUGUUUAAGUACUAUGUUAGUCAAUUCAAAUGAGAGAACAGAGAGAUCAAGAACUAUAUUAGAACAAUAAAAACAUACAUUGAUUAAACAAUAGCUACAACUCUAUUCGUCCAAGUAAACACUUACACUUAAUUAUUUCAAACAACUAAAAAGAACACGAUACAAAAUAUGACACAACAACAUCAUAAAUACUGAACCCUCCAUUAAUGACAAUCCAAACUUUAGUAACUCAUCAAUCUUUCAAUGGCUGCAGUUUCUUGGGAAAUCCAUUCAUCCCAACACCCAUGAAGCUUUGCUUCUAAACCUAGGUCCUCUUGUUUGGUGGUGUAUUGCCAUAUUUCCAAGUGAAUUGCUUUAAACCUUCAGGAUAAGUACCCCCUGCAACCUCAUGGAUUGGGAUCGCAUCUGUAAUUUCUUUCAAAUCUUCUUUUGUCAGCUUUACUUUCACUGAUUCAAUGUUGCUGUCUAGAUUUUUAAUCUUGGUUGUUCCUGUAAGAAGUGAAAACAAUGUGUCAAAAGCUUUGGUUAUAUAUAUAAAUUGGCCUUUGGUACAGGAUUUUUCAGGCCAUUCUUAGUUACUGGAACUUGUAUCAGAGUGUCCAACACAGAUAUGUUCAUUUUCCUAAGGUUUUACAUAUAUCUGGAGGAAUAUGCUAGAAAAUUCUAUGCUAUUUCUGCAGGUUACUAACUUACUCCGACUGUUUUUUCUUCAAGUAUCCGUGUCUAAUACCCAACAUAUUUUGACAUGAGUAUUGAAUACAAUUCUCCAAAUAUAUGAAAAUUUUCAAAAAAAUAUAAGAGUUCACUUAUAUUGGAUCACCUCGGAAUUCAAGUUGAAAGUGAUUGAAUGGGACUUACCGGGAAUAGGAGAAACAUCAUCCCCUUGAUGAAGAACCCAGGCAAGUGCAAGUUGUGCCGGUGUACAUCCAUGCUUUCCAGCCAACUUCUCUACUUUCGAAUAUAGGAUCCUAUUUUGCUCCAAGUUUUCUCCUUGAAACCUUGGGAACACUCCCUUAAAAAAUAAAUGUUUGUAAUGAGUCAACCGAUCUGUUUUUUUUACAACUUAGAAGCAUGUUACUAUGUUAUCCGAAUUCUUUAUUUUCUUUAAUUACUCAUAUCCAACAUGUCUCUGACACAUAAUUGGAUAUAAGUAUGAGAGUAACAUCCUUCAAAUAAAUGAAAAUGAAACUUAAAAAAUGUUUUUUUUACAACUUAGAAGCAUGUUACUAUGUUAUCCGAAUUCUUUAUUUUCUUUAAUUACUCAUAUCCAACAUGUCUCUGACACAUAAUUGGAUAUAAGUAUGAGAGUAACAUCCUUCAAAUAAAUGAAAAUGAAACUUAAAAAAAACUGAAUAUAUUCAUGUCGCACACAUAUCUGUAUCCAACACUUACUCCUGAACCCAUAUAACAUAGAUUAAGUAUAGGUUAAAGCUAUAUAAAGUGAGUUUCCAUACCAGAGAACUAUUAGAGGUAUCCUCCUUCGCUUUACCGGCAAAGAAACCAUGACCAAGGGGACUAUAUGCAACAAUCCCAAUUCCGAGUUCCCUGCAUUGUUGAACACAUUUAGGCAGACAUAACCUCAGAGCAGUUGAAGGACUUAAAACAGUUGAUAACUUGAGAAAAGACAAUCAAUAAGUGAAUUUCAAUCUAUUUGAGCAAAAGGGUAUAUUUAUAUCCCUCCAAAUAUAUAAAAAAUUGAAUAUACCUAUAUUCGAAAAAAAAAAUUACGAUGAUUGAAGAUAGAAGAAUAAACCUGCAAAGGGGAAUUAGUUCUUCCUCAACAUCACGAGUCCAGAGCGACCACUCAAGUUGUACAGCAGUAAGAGGAUGAACAGCGUGUGCCCUCCUUAUAGUUUCGGGGCUAGCUUCAGAUAUGCCAAUGUACUUUAUUUUUCCCUCUUCCACCAACUUCUUCAGUUCUUCCAUCUAUCAUACAUGAAAUAAAUAUAAAUUAUGCUUAAUUUUCCCAUAAACAAAACAAAAUUGUAUUUGUGUUAAAGAAAGACAAAAUAGGGUUUUUAAUGCAGCAAUGCUUACGGUAUCUUCUAUAGGAGUCUUGCGGUCAACUCUGAUUAUAUAGUAAAGAUCAAUAUAAUCCACAUCAAGGCGUUGAAGGCUAGCCUCAAGUGAAGAACGAACAAAUUCAGGAGUGCCAUUGAUAACCGGACCAUCUGGACCCAUGCUUUCAACACCGAAUUUUGUAGCCAACUGUACCUUCUCUCGUGGCAGAUGCUUCAAUGCCUGCAAAAAAAGAAAUGAUGUUGAUUUCCCAGAUUCCUUUAACGAGCCAAGAACCAGAAUGAAAACAUUAAAUCAUAUCGAUUUGAUAAACUAAAAAAUUCCAUCUCUCACGCAUAUCUUCGAAUAUGUAAUAGACACAAGAGUGUGGGAAAUUGAGAACAUGAAAGAAUCGCUCUCAGUUUCAAUGUGAUUAAGCUUGAAGAGAUGACGAAAGGAUGUUACCUUUCCGACCAGAAUUUCGUUAGUUUUGGGUCCAUAGAAGUCGGCUGUAUCGAUGUGAGUGACUCCUCUUUCGACUGCAUGCUUAAUGAUGGCUAUGCCAUCUUCAGCUGACACUGAAUGAUCGUGACCUGUAAGACUCAUACACCCAAAUCCCAGCUUUGAAACCUGCAGCAACCAAAAAAUAAUAGAUUUUACCCCCCAAAAGAAAACGCCAUUUUCUUAACUAAUAUAAACUAGUAGGAAACAAAAUCUCAAACCUCAAAUCCUUGAGUUCCAAGUUUCACUCUAGGAAUCUCAAUUGCCAUCUUUUGUUUCCUUUUUCUUCUUCUUCUUCUUUGUGUGCUAUAAACAAAGGCUUCUCUGAUUACUGAACCUCUCAAAACUUACAUUAAAUAGAAAAUUUUGAGGUCUUUAUCCAGUAUCUUAUCUUGUUCUCAGCUUUGUUAACAUUCUUACGUCAUUAAGUAUGUCAUCCCAUAUGCCUCAAUUGAAUGAGUGGAUAAAGCUCUUUUUCAGACACGUUUGACACUGUUUAAAUUGGUUAAAUAUAUCAUUUGGUACCUAAGUUUGAUCUUUUUUCUAAUUUGAUAUUUGUGUUAUUUUAAGGUAAAUGACAAAAAUGGUCACUAAAUUGGGGUGAAAUUUCCUUUUUUGCCUCUAAACUAUGAAAAGUUACAUUUUUAUCACUAAAGUUAUUUACUUAUAACAUUUUUAUCACUCGUCUGUUAAUAGAAAAGUGAGGUGUGGUACAUUAAUUUAAGGAUUAAUAUCUAAUUUGAUCAUUAAACUAUAGUUAAGAUAUAAUUUGAUAUUUUUAUAACAUUUUUAAUAAGAAAAAAAUAAAAAAAUCCUAAAAAUUUAUUAUUUAUUUUUUGAAAUUAUGAAAAUAUUUUUAAAAAUUGUAAUUAUGUAAAAAAAUUAUAAAAAUUUUAUAACAAGCAAAACACGUAUUUUACAAAUUAAAAGAAAAAUACGUUUUUAUUGGUAUAGCAUAAAACCAUUUUGCAUAAUAUCUUGGAUAUAAUUAAAUCUGAUCAACUCGUCUGCUACUGUAGCUUUCAGUGCUGAAAAGCAAGCCAAGCCUUUUCCUUUGAGCAGCUACAGGGAAACCGACAAUGAUUGAACUAUUAGACCCAAGCUGCGUUACAGCCGCGCAGCUCUACGUAAAGUCAUGGUCACGUAGUGCAAAUACGUAUUUUGUUUAUUAUAUAAUUUAUAUUUUUUUUGUUUUAUUUUUUACAUGAUUAUAAUUUUAAAAAAUAUAAUUUCAAAUAAAUGAUGAAUUUUCAAAAUAAUUUAAGAUUUUUUUAUAUUUUUAGAAUUUUUAUUUUUUUGAAAUUAUUGUUAAAAAUGUUAUAAAAGUACUAAAUUGAAUGUUUAAGCUAUAAUUUAGGGAUCAAAUUGGAUAUUAAUCCUUGAAUUAGAGGCCAAAAUAUUAUAAGUUGAUAACUUUAGUGACUAAAAUAUAACUUUUCAUAGUCUAGUAAAAAAAAUCACCAAAGUUUAAUGAUCAUUUUUAUAGUUUACCCUUAUUUUUAUUCAAUAUGAUACAUAUGCUUGACAAGAAAAAAAAAUGUCAUCUCAUAUUUUUUUUUGUUUGAUAUAACAUUUCGUACUCAAGUUUGAAUUUUUUUUAAUGCCAAAUCUAUGUUAUUUUUAUCCAAUAUAAUACAUGCAUUUAAAAAAAAUUUAUAUAUUUUCGUAUCUAAAAAUAAAAAUAUUAAUUUUCUAGAUUCGGGUUUUAAUAUUAAUUUAGUGAAAAAUAACUUCUAAUAUUUAAUGUUUGAAUUUUUCAUGAUUUUCUUAAUAGAUUAAAUUUAGUAUUAUUUGUAAAUUUGUUUAGUUUUGCAUUAAAUUAUUUAAAUACAACUUGAUGGAUAUGAUUUAAUUCAAGUUUUAGGAUCGAUGUGAUGAAAUUUAAUUGCUAAUAUUAUCAGCCAAUUACGAAUUUUCAUCCAACUCUAAAAUUCGGAUUAAACAUUAAAAAGUUGGCAUCUUUAACUUCAGGUAUCAGUUCUGGAAUAAACACUAAAAAGUUACCAUUGUUAGCUUUUGGUAUCAAAAUAUAUAACUUUUGUCAAAUAUAAGUACCAUUUCUAUAUAGACUUCCUCGUCAAUUUCAUCAACAAUGCAAGCUUACAUUUAAUUUAUAGUCUUUUCAAGUACAGCAGUAGUCGGAUCUGAUUGGACAAUGACUCUAAUUUCCUCUAAAAAUCCUUCUUGAGUUUAGCUCGAUUAGUACGGAUCAUUUGGGACCAACUUAUUAAAUUAGAUCCCAUAGCCUUUAUUUUUUCCAGAAAGGUACCGUUGGAAAGGUCCCGUGACCUCUCUGACCUCACCUUGGCAGCUUUCCUCCAUAACUCGAGAGGCCUCCAUUCUGAAAUUCCUUGUAGAAUUGGAUAGUCCAGCUCGAGAAAUAAAAUCUUCAGUACAAAUAUUAAUGUGUAGUGAUCCAACUGGGGUAUACCAGGUGCUGGACUGAGUAGCGUGGAAAAAGAGACCACCAGUUCAAGUUCGCCACACAUUGGUCUAGUCUCCCACAAACGUUGGUUACCAUCGUUAAGCCUUUUUCCCAUGUGAACUAAGGACUAUUGCAAACUCUACCACCCUGUUAGAAAGUGCAACUUAUCAUUGAAUUUUGAGUACGAAGGACAAGAGGGAAACUAAAUACUAUUUGGUGCUGCAAAUCUCGGACAAAAUCAGUUCCCUUCUCCUGGUUGUCUACCACAGCCAAUUCCAGGUUAUCGCCAAGCUCUUGGUUUUUUGAAACAGAGAAUUCAUUAUUCUAUGAUAAAGCCAACUCAUGGUCAACAUAGUCAGGUUUUCAAUCAGUAGCUAACUUGUUAUCAUGUCUAUAAAUAUGACCAACAUCCCCUUCUUUCUCAUGAUAAUGCCAUAAACCUAGGAUGUGAUCAUAAGCCUGUCCUGUCCCAGUGUGUCUCAAGCUAUGGUUAUGGCCUAACACCAGUUGCUGGUUCUGCUUUUAUUCUAGAUUGUGGCUUUGUGCAUAGAUCAUGUCAUGAUUAGCCAUUGAAUAAAUUAAUCACAGUGUUAAUUCACAAUGCAUUCAACAAGCCUUAUUUAUCAGCAUUUAUUUACAAAACAAAAUCACAUUGCUUUCAUUCAUUUACAUAGUUCUAACAUUAAAUUCAUUUAAAAUAAACAAGAAGUUGAAGCCCAAAGAAUGAAUACCCAAUGGAAAGAACAGCUUUAGCAAGUCCAGGAAAAUCAGACAAUGCUGAAUAAGUGCCUGAAACAAAAGCUAUCACCGUUGCAGUAAUCCCAUAACUCGUUAACAACGAAGUAAUAUACGUAUAAAAUGCAUGGGCAUCGAGUUUUUCCACAAACGAUUUGCAGUAAUGGAGGAACAUCGAUGUGGACGAGAAGCAAAAGGCCAACGCAUUAGCUAUCACAAACACUCUAAAAGCCAAUUUUCUGCUUAAAAUCGCCAUUCCUUCCUCGGGGCCAUCGCUUUUGUACCCACCGGGCGUGGUGAAACCCGCGGCGAAUGAGAUGAUGGCGAUCAGUGUUGUCACCAGUAAGUUUAUGCUGGCGAUGGUAUGGAGUUGAUCGGAGCUUGGUUUCUUGAUCGCUGCAGGUUCGGGUCUUUUGUUGGGAAUAAGUUGUGGUUGGGUUUCAAUGGCGACAGGGGACCAUGUUGUUUGUGGUUGUUCUUGAUUUGCUGUUGUCGAUUCAGUAGAUCUUGUUUUUCUUCCGUCCUUGUUGAUUGCAUGCAUGUUCUAAGCUUUCUAGACCUCUAUUGCUUGCAACACUCAUUGUAAUCCAAGUCAGUAAGUAGCUCAAUUUGAGAUAAAUAUCCAAUUAUUUGAUCUUUAGAUUUGAUUAUGCUUGUUUACCUAAUAAAAAAUUUUCAAGGAUUAAAAACUCCUCAAAUUAAAUAAGUAGAAAUAUUUUUCAAUUUUAUUGUUGCUUUAUAAUUUUGGUUGAUAUAAUAACAAAUUAAGUCUUUGAUGUUUAUAUAUUAUGUUAAUUUGAUUUUGAUUCUGAAUAAAUUAUAUAAAAAAGAUGUAUUUAAAUAUAGAUAGACUGUGUAAACUGUAAGAUUAAAUUUACUAUUAUAUUAAUUAAAAUUUUAUAAAUUGAUGAUGAAUCAUUAAUUGGUUUUAGAUUAAAAUAUUCUAUUUUUUUUGAAAAUUAUGACCCGUUUGGUUAUAUCAAAAUUGAGAGGGAUAUGAAGGAUAUUUUUACUGAUUAAAUAUAAAGUAAAAUGACACUCAGGGAUCAAUUCCAUUUUUUUAUUUUUCACUUACUCUUGAAUAACAUGAUACUUCUUGUGCAAGAGUUAGUUCGCUCAAAAUAUUCUUCAACGAAAUUACUUGAGAAGUGCACACUGCAGCAACUAUGUAUUUUACUUCACAUGUUGAAAAGGCAUUAAAUUUUAAAAAAUAAAGGUAUUGGGAUUAAAUUGAAAAUGUAUAAAGAGUAUAAGCACUUAGAACAUGUUUUGACUUUUAAAUUUUAUUCCAUAAUUUGCUCCAAAAAUUAAUUUAUUCCAAUGCGAAGCGUGGCAAGAACUAUACUAUAAUGAGUAAAUCACAGGGAUAAGCACUUCAAAUUUUCAAGAAAUUUUACAAUACUUAAAUCAAAAACUCCUAACAUUCAUAAAUAAGAGGAUAAUAAAUACUUAAGUACACUCAAAUCCUUUUGACUGUUGCAACAGCAGUGGUGCCAAUUGAUUUGAAGCUAAAGCAAUAAUUUUUAUAAAUUAUUUAAAAUUAAUUGUAAAAAAUAUAAAAUAUAAACUUAUUUUUUUAUUUUAUUUUAAAUUUUAAUAUAUAAAUAAUUAAGCGGAUGUUAACUGAGGUAUGACAUUAUUUUUAUUAUAACAAUCAGGACAAUGUGAAUUUAAACGGAAUUUUGAAUCAAAUAGUAUUGAAAAGGGUUUUCAUCAUUAUUUCCAUUAAUAUUACAAUCAUACUACAAGCCAAGCAAGUGCAGUACACCCUAAGGCUCAAACAAACCUUCAAAUUCUAUGAAAUUUUUUAGGAUUUAUUACAAACCAAGCAAAUGGAAGCACACACUAAGGCUCAAACAAUGAGGUAAGCACACACUAAGGCUCAAACAAUGCCUCAAUUUAUUAUCAACUUUUUUGCAGAGCUGGUAAUGAUAAUCGUAUGCCCCGUGAUAAUAUCAAUAUAUUACCAAGAAGGCAGUGAAGCAGCAGCCAUGAAAGCGACAAACUAUUCGUAGUUAUAAACAGUACAACGCGAGUUCAGAUCAGGCUUCCACCAAUGGCGAAGUUUAUGAGGUGAAAUGCUUUCUUCGGGAGGACUGAGAUUCUCUAUAAGAUUUGCCGAAGGAAGCAACUGAAGCGGCUCCGAAAUUGCAACAUCCAUUAUUUUCAGUUCUUUGAUCACUAUAUUUCUUAGUGAAUGAUGGCUUAUUAGUCCCCAAACUCCAACGUCGUCGCUCUUUCUUCUCUUCUUGAAAUGUUCAAUAUCUCCUUGACAUGUGAAGUCUCUACUAUUCACAAACAAACAUGGGUUCCACCCUGAUAUUGCAGCAAAUGAAUCUUCAUCACCACUAUAUCCCAAAGCAAGGACAACGCCGCCUUUGAUAACAGUGAUUGUCAGUUGAAGUCCACGUAUCACAUUCUUGUUGUCUUUGAAGAUUGUCUCAAUUGGGAAAGAUGCAUAUGGCGGAUUAAACAAAAAACUUUACAAGAAUUUGCCUCUUUUCACCGUAUUCUUUCCAGCAAGCAUUGCGAUGGCUGCCCCUAGGGAAUGACCAGUUAACCAUACCUUUGAAGAACCAGCCUUUGACACCCUAUCUUCAACAUAUUUCAUGGCGGUCCGAACACGACUAGUUUGAUGAAGUGUAUAGGAUUAUUGCGAAAUCCGACUCAAGAUCCCUUUUCCAAGUUUCUCGUUUGAAUAGGGUACCUCGAAAGGCGAUCACGUAUCCAGGGCCUGGAUUAGUUGCCGAAGGAAACACAUAUUCAAGAAUGGCACCAAAGAUGCUUUCAUCAUCCUCAUGGACGAGCUCAUUCACUAACUUGAAGUUGAAAAACUCCCACCAUUGUGGCGCAAGUGUCUCAGAGCCUCCACGUAAUUCCACUUGUCGGUCACGUUCCCGCUCGGAAACACCCUUGACCAAGCUGGCUGAUAAGGAUCUUCGAUGGCUGUCGUCGUUCCUAUCAAUGGUGGUAAGGUUUUUGGGUCCCACAAGACUAAAAGGUUCUCUUCCACGAGACGUAUAUUAUAGCACUGGAAACUAUUGACGUGGGUACGAGGGCUUUGGGUGAUGUGGGUUUCAGGCUAUAUGGUGGUUAAAGCAGGUUGUGCAAUGGUGACUGUGGUCAGUGAUGUGACAGCGCUGGCGAAUGGACCCGCGGAGCUUGGUCUGGGAGCUCUUAAAUAGAAAAUCUUGAUUAUCCAGUAUCUUCUCUUGGUCUCAGCUUUGUCAACAUUCUUACGUCAUUAAGUAUGUCAUCCCAUAAUGAGUGGAUAAAGCUCUUUUUCAGACACGGUUUAAAUCAUAUGGUUAAAUAUAUAUUUAGUUUUUUUAGAAUUUAUAUUUGAGUUAUUUUAAGAUAAAUUAUAAAAAUGGUUAUUAAAUUGAGGUGAAUUUUUUUAUUAUCUCUGAAUUCUGAAAAGUUAUAUUUUUUUAUUAAAAUUAUCUACUUAUAAUAUUUCGAUCAUUCGUAUGUUAAUAAAAAAGUGAAAUUGUAUAUAUUAAUUUAAGGGUUAAUAUUUAAUUUCAUCAUUAAACGAAUUAAUGAAUGACAAUGACUAUAUUGGGCUAUAAGUAACUUGUUUUAGUAGUAUGUUAGUCAAUUCAAAUGAGAGAAAAGAAGAGAUCAAGAACUAUAUUAGAACAAUAAAAACAUACAUUGAUUAAACAAUAGCUACAACUCUAUUCGUCCAAGUAAACACGAUACAAAAUAUGACGCAACACCAUCAUCAACACUGAACCCUCCAUUAAUGACAAUCCAAAGCUUUAGUAUGUUUCUUGGGAAAUCCAUUCAUCCCAACACCCAUGAAACUUUGCUUCUAAACCUAGGCGCUCUUCUUUGGUGGUGUAUUGCCAUAUUUCCAAGUGAAUUGCUUUAAAUCAUCAGGAUAAGUACCCCCUGCAACCUCUUGGAUUGGGAUCGCAUCUGAAAUUUCUUUCAAAUCUUCUUUUGUCAGCUUUACUUUCACUGAUUCAAUGUUGCUGUCUAGAUUUUUAAUCUUGGUUGUUCCUGUAAGAAGUGAAAACAAUGUGUCAAAAGCUUUGGUUUUAAAUCUCAAUGCAAACUGGCCGUUGGUCCAGGAACUUGUAUCGGAGUGUCCAACACGGAUAUGUUCAUUUUCCUAAGGUUUUACAUAUAUCUGGAGGAAUAUGCUAGAAAAGUCUAUGCUAUUUCUGCAG